CGUGCGGCCGAAAACAGUUGUGUUUACGCGCAAUGCUGGCGAUCACAGAGUUUCGCAGUCGAAAAAUAUCACGAUAGACGCAUCAGAGGACCCAUGUAUAGGUAACGUAUAUUAUGAGUUUUUUUUUUAAAUAUUUAAGCGCGUAAUUUAUGGUAAAAUCCGUCCGAGACCGUUGACAAAAACGGAAAUUCGAAAGUCGGCGAAUAAACUUUGUAAAACGGAAACCUGUGACAAACAGGGACGGGUAUAUUUCUUCAGUCCGUUGGCGAGCUCCACUGUUUUAGAUAGUUUUCAUCCCUGCGAUAAUAUUUACAUUGCAUAUUAUGAUAAGCUACGUAAGCUACAUUAUUAUAGUACACCGGCUGUUUUUGAGCAGGGAAGGGUGGUUUCUCCUUUAGCCAAUGUAAAUUUUUAAGAACGGUAUAAUCACCAUCAUUCACCGACACAUUGAAUAUUUAUUCUUCUUCUUAUUUCGCUAAAAGCUAUCCCUAUAGUCCGUAUACCGAAUAUAGACUUUUAUUCCUCUCUAUUUAAUGCCAGAGUCUAUUUAUAACAUGUGAAUAUACAUCGUUUCAUCGAGCCAAUUCGAUCAUCUCUCUUAUGAUGAAUGUCCUUCCUUGGACUUCCUCUUCCUUCGCGUCCUUCGGUUCUUCUUUCCAUUAUGUCGGUUAUGAUCUAAUAAUAGGUAGUAAUAAUAUGUUUUGGAGAUUUUUUACAUUGCUCUUCAAAAAUAUUACGAAAUAAUCUGGUAAAAACCAUUUACUAUAAAUACAAAUUAUUUCAUUGAACUAUAAUAUAAUUUUAAUAAUUAUAUACAACUUGAGACAAUUACGCAUCACCAACAAUGGUUGUAAACUAGUUACAAUAGUAAUAUUACCACCGGUGAGAGAAUUUCCUAAAUAAAAUAAAAUAUUGUGUUACAAAAUUUACUAAUUCGUAUCAUUUACCGUUUAUAUCUGAACGACGUAUAAUAUCUAAGUGAAAUUUUACUUUACCGGAUGUGAGUGUCCAUUAGACUUCACUGUGUGUCUAUUUGGACAAAGAGAACUCCCUAAAAAAUGCCUUGCACGGUACUUAAAAUUAUACAUGUACUCGGUAUACGUAUAGUUGAUUACAUUUUAUACUAGAAUUAUAAAGUCGUAUGAAACGGAUUUUACUAUAUCGUCUAUAUCCGCCUUUUAUGGAUAUAAUAUAAUGGUCGUGUUGACGGUGUGCGCGGAGAGGGUUGGGAUGAGAGGGACCCUGGCGACGACGAGUAGAAGUUUGACUUUAUCUGCUCUGCAGGAUGAUAAAUGAACGAGGCGUCGUCAUCGUGUAGGAUUAAAAACGCUUAAUGUCUGCGAGACGCAGAUUAAUGUACAGUAAUAAGGAUAAAAACACCCUUGUAAUAUUAAUUAAAAAAAAAUAAGAAAAAAAAUACUCGAGUUCUCCCCUCUUAUUGCAGUGUCGGUGCGCCACUCGAAAAAUCAAGAAAUUAAUGCCACCGCUGCCGCCACCGUAGUCGUUUCUUAAUUUAUUUUUCCUCGUUAAAACUUUUAGUUCCGAAAUAAAAAAAAAAAAAAAAACGGUCCAAUUACGAACGGCGCUAUGGCGGCCGUGGCGUCGGCGAGGGUAUUUUUUUCUUUUUUUGCUUCGUAAGAAUUCGUAAUUAAUGGAAUAAUUUGAUCGGGGAAGGGCGGGAAAUAAACUUGUAAACAGAAAAAAAACAACCAAUUUAAUUACGUCGCACUAACAUCGGCGCUUGGAGCAAAUUCGCAUAAAGGACAAAUGUUUCAAACGUUUCAUUAUAGAGAAAUUCAGCGUAUUCGUUUGCUUAACGGCGCGUAAAGCCUCCUAAAGCCCUCCCUCUUUUCCGGGGUACGCCAUUGCGUGUUAUUAUAAUCAUUCAUAUUUAAACAAUUAAAUAAGUCGUUAUUGCUAUUUUGUUGUUCUAUUUUCCAAUUCAAAUUGUAGAGCGCAGUGGCGUGCCCAGGAAUUUUAAACGGGAGAGGAUGUAACAAAUAAGAAUCGUGAUUACAUUGUAAAAUCUUAACUUAACUAUGAGAAUUGGUAAUUUAAAAGCUGGAUUCCGAAGAAACGCCAAUUUAUAAUCAAUAUAAAGCUUUAUAAAUCAAACUUUUCUUCGUAACUUGGCUAAAAUAUAUGGAUUUUAAUGUAAGAUUACUUUUUUUUUUUUAUGCCUAUGUGGGGGCAUAUAAUUCCCCUCAAUCCUAUGCACGCCACUGACUGAGUGUUAAAAGUUUUAUUAAAUUUUAAUAUGAAUUUCACCAUUUUCUUGCGGGAAGAGAGUAAUUUUAUAUAUUCCAGCACUCUUAAUAAAGACGCCCUAAAUGAAGCCAGAAUUUUCAAAAUGCAUAACGCUAUUAUUAAAAGUGUGCCUUUUGGAUGUUUUAAAUUUCAACGGCCACCCUAAACUAUAUUUUUUUGAAAAUAUAGUAUUGUAUUAUUAUAGUGUUAGCAGAUUUAUUAUUUUGCGAAGAAUAUUUCGGUAACAAUGUAAAAGGCGGUAGGAAAAUUCAACUAGGUACUCUACAGUUUCGAAGCUCUGCUGAUCAUCGUUUUUUUCUAUCUCUGUUUCAUAGAUAGUGACGAGUUUCAACCGUACAAAUGUUUCAAACGUUGGGUUAGGUUAUCGUUCGCAUUAUUUGCCGCUUACGAAUGUGCUCUAGGAACGGUGAUGUUUUUGCACGACGCUAUAUAAUAUUAUAACAUCGUUAGCGAAACGGUCGGGUGGCGUGAAUUGGAAGCGAAAAGCUCGAUUCCGAGGUGUUUUUUUUAUUUUUUUUUUUUGAAUUUAAACCGAAUAAAAAUGUUAACACGAACGCGAGGAUAUUAUAAUAAUAUACCUAUAUAAGGUAUACCCCGUGCGAGAGUCUUAUUAGAUUUGGGAAACGUCUCGGUAAAUCGACGAAUAUUUAUCAACACGCUCGCACACACACGUAUAUAACAAAAUAAACUACGCGUUUUUUUUUGCUCCCCGUCAUGACGUUUCCGUCGUAGUAAUAAUAAUAAUGAUGUAUACCCCGAGAAUAGAUAUACAUACACACAUAUACUUAUUUCUACAUAUAUAUAUGUAUAUACACUUUUUCCCUCAAAACUGUUUAUGGAAACGAAGGCAAUUGAAAUGGUGUUUUUUUUUCUUCUUAUCCUUCUUCUCGAGAGUUUAUUUUAUUUUAUUAUUAUUAUUAUUAUUAUUAUUUUUUUUUUCGGCGCGGGUCGAUAACGCGUCUGAAAAGAGAGCUUUCGGAUGACGCCUUUUUUUUUUUUUUUUUUUUUAGUUUUGUUAUGAAAGGGAGUCAUUGCGCGCGCCCGGAGAACAAAAGAGUAAGAGAACAAGCUGGAUCAGUGACUACUGGAGAGAUUUUUUUCUUUUCUUUUCUUUUUUUUUUCUUCCCGUUAUAUAUACUCUACACACUUUUGAUUUUAAUGAGAACGGUUACGGCGUAAAGAUCCCGAAGGGCUAUAUAAUAAUAAUAAUAAUAUAAUAAUACUCUCUAUAUAGUAUAUAAGGAAAAGAAACAAUAACAAACGGCGACGGCGGACGGGCGGGCUAUCGGGUCAAAUUUCAAAAGAAAAUCAAAAGCGAAAGGAAUCGAUAUAUUUAUAUGUAUGCACUCUAAUAUUUUAUUUUUCUCUUUUGAUUUUUGUUAACGUGUUCUAAACGUGACUCAAGUUCCGAGCGCGGGGGAUAGUUCGGGCGCGAUGAAAAUUGUUUAAAAAAAAUUCGCUACCUAUAUCGGUUUGAAGAAAAAAAAAAAACAACCCCCGUCUAUGUUGUAUACGGUUGUAUAGAGUUUAACGGGUGUAAUAAUGUUAUUUCUAUACUCGGUAAAAACACUGGUGGUAGUAAGCAAUAGUUUCGGGCGGAGGGGGGAGCGUUUUGCGAAUAACAAAAAAAAAAAAAACAACUUUUUUUCGACCGUAUACACGUGUCUUUCGUUUAUUCGUCGUGUCCGUGUCAUUUUAUUUAACGGUAUAUAUAUUUUAGUGUGUGCCGCACACAUACACCUGUAGUUAAAAAUAUCUGCAGUUAUUGUUCGCGCGUAGCCUGAAGGUUUCGCGAACUUGAAAAACGUUUUUUAUACUAUUAUACAUCUGUAUACGUAUUACUUGCGUGAGUAUAUCUGACUCAGCGACUAUUUUAAACGGUGUUUCCAGUGAAAUUUUUAUAGGUUUUCGAGAGAGUGAAAUAAAGAGGUUUUUCAGACAAAAGAGCUCAAAUGACAUUUUCGUCCUCAUAUAUUAUCUUACAAUAUUGCAGGCACGUUUAGUACCUACAAAUGUCGCUUGGACCAGUUAUGCAUAGCCUAUUCAUAUUGUGCACGAACUGUCGUUUGCAUCCUAAAUUUAAAAACUCACGAUAAAAACGUGCGUUUAAUUAUAUCUAUUUAACGCGAUCUAACAAAAAACGAUAUAAUGUAGGUGCAAUUUUUUUAAUCAGCAAUAAUAAAUGCUCCGAAACGUAUACACACCACGUUGUUGUGCGAUGCGAAAUGUCAACGAUAGUAGUAGUAUUAAAUUAUCAUUAAGAAACAGUUUUUUUUUUUGGUAAAGUGAUCAAGAAGUUGGUUAUGUUAUUGAUCCUUUAUAAAAUAAGGGAAUAGGAACGCCUUGGACUCCGGACGACAUUGCGUAAGACAUUUUUCGGGUUCCUUAAAAAAAAAUUGUAUUUUAUGUUAUUUUUAGUGUUUGAAUUUAUUAUGCAUUGAUCAUACAGCGUGUUGCAUAUAUUCCCUAAGUACGGCCUAUAAUAUAGUAUAACAAUGUAUGCUUUAAGAGCGGGUUGAAUAAAGAUCAGUUUGUGACUUUACUUUUACUUUUGGUUUGUAAAAAAAAAAAUUGAGUCGCAUAAAAGAUUUGUAUUUUAUUGAUAACAUUUGUUACCAGAUAAAUUAUACCAUAUUUUAUUUGAUUACAAUAAUUGUCAAAAAAAAAAAACAGUCGUGGGAGAAAAUAACAAAGCUGUACAAUAAAAUAAUCCAAAAAUUGAAAAUAGAAUAAUUUUAGAAAGAAAUUAUAAUUCUUAUCACCGUAUGUUAACGCUAACGAACGUUCAAGCAAAACCUGUUAAAAAUAAUUAUUUUUAACGGUCCAGUAGUGAGUUAAAGGCUUUGCAGUAAAUCGCUAAUGAACGUUUAUGCGACCCAGCCAAAAAGAUGCGGAUUUCAUGUCCGGUGCAGAUGCACCUAUGUGCUUUGUUUGAAACGUUUUUCUACAUAUUCCCAAUAUGGCCGUACAGGUACUUAAGUAAAUGCCGUCGAGCCCUUAAAAUUAUUCAAAACAUAUUCGAAUCUGAUUCAUAUUUGACCUGGACAAUCGAAAUUUGCAAGCGAUCUUUAUAAAUAUAUAUUGUAUAUAUUGGCGGUCAAUUACGCAAGUUUCGAUCGAUUUUAUUAGUGCGCAAUAAAAAAAAUGACGUGUUUCCGCACGGUUUAUAUAAAUUGCUUUAAACGCGUCGUAAACCGUCAAUCGUUUUUCGACGUUUUAAGUAUGAUAUUCAUAUCAUAAACUAUCUAUAUAAUAUUAUAGGUUAUAUAUGUUUAAAAAAAAAAACUACUUUUUCAUGCGAAAAUUUCAAUAAAACUAUACCGAUUUUUUCGUCAUUUCCCGUAUCGUUUAUAAAUAAUGAAAAAAAAAAUUUUUUUAAAUCGAAAACUAAAGGCAACAUAUCGUAUAUUACGUGUAUUUACACGAAUUUUUUGUCGUAAACGUGUAAGAUCAAGAAAAAAAAAAUUUAAAAAAAAAUGAUCGUCUCUAUUUUUAUAAAUACACGUCAAUAUGUGUAAAGAGCGUAUUUGCUAUAUAAUAUCAGUUGAACACAUAAUAUAAUAUGCUUAUCGUUUUGUUUUUCUUUCACCACUGUCCCUAGCUGUUUUUCCCACUCUCGUGAAUUAUAGUUAAAUUUAUUGCGACGACGAGAUUCCGUCGCAUUAGUUACAAAUAUAAUAUAUGACGUAAUACGUAUACUAUAUCCAUAUAUACGUUUGUACAAUAAAAAAUCUUUACGACUCUAAAAGUUUAUCUAAAAAGAAAUAGUACCUCAAUUAUUCGGUCCACUGUGAGCUUUCCGCAGUCCAUUAUCGUAUACACGCAAUAAAUGACGUCGGGGCAUAUUUGACCGUAAAACUCGGACAUAAAGUACGGUGGCUGCUGACGAUGGCCUAUAAUUCGCAAACGGGAACCAUUAACAUUUAUUCUGGUCUCGACGAAAUACAUUAUCUCGAAUAUUCGAAUUUAAAUUGUAUUUAUAUAUGUAUUAUAUAUAACCGAAUCUCAUUCGCUGGCAUUUUAUAGUAUGGAAGAGAAGCAAUAUAGUCGUAAAAGUCAUUUAGGGAAGAAAAAAAAAUGUACAAUAUAUAGAGCAUAUAAAUAAUACAUCAUUUCGAUGUAUGACAUAUAAUGCACGAUGUUCGUUUGGUUUUUUUUUCCGUUUAACGAACGGUAAAAGUCAAUUAUUUAUAGGUACCAUCACACUGUCCCUGCUUAACAGGUACCUGGAUACGCGCCUGCGAAAAGGAUACCGCCGUGUCGGCUAUAGUCCAAUGCAUGGUGUUCAUAGGUGCAUAGUCCAGUGCAUACAUCGUAUAUCCUUGAAUAGUUUUUUAAAAAAAAAAAAAAAAAAUAAUAAUAAAAUCCGUUGUAUUAUUGCCGUUGCACGUCCGUUCAUACAUAACACUAAGUAUGCCACUAAAACCGUCAUAGUAAUAUAAAUCGUAUCCAUUUAUUUCAGUAGCAUUAUAACUAAAAAAUACACAAUUUAACUUUUCUUACGAUUAUAAUUGAUUAUUGUUUUUUUUUUUUUUACAAUGUUAAGUAUUUUAUGUCGGUAAAUUAUAAUUUAAUAUUUGUAUAAUCGAUAUGUUAUCUGUGUAGUAUACUCUCAAAAAAUUCGACUUGAACACUACCGGAAUCAACGGCUACAGUUGUACGUAUUAUACGGUAUAUUACCUAGAGGUAGUGUUCAGUGUUAAAUCCAGGCGCAUGACAAUCAAAUGGAAAUCAAAUUAAUUAAAAGGUCAUUAAUAUAACUUAAGUAAUGCUCCUCCCCCCCCCAGAAAAAUUGUCUGGAUUCCAGUGUGAUUGUGUUCCAUUUUACGGAGAAAUUUUCCCGUACGUGUAUCCGUGCGAGAGAUAGAAAAAAAAAAAAUGUUAAGGCACGUAAAAAAUAUAUGACGCGUACGGAAUUAAAAUAAAAAAAAAAAAAACCCAACUCGUUAUUCGCUAUACGCCCGCGGGCGAUGUCUGCAAAUGCGAUUUCGGUCUGUCAUUAAAUGCGAUCUCGCGAUUCUCGAGCGUGACGCGAAAUUCGCCCGUGCACGCGUCGUCGUAAUAUUAUACAAAUUAUUGUACCCGCGGGCUAUAAAUAUAUAAAAUAUAUAUUAUGUAGUAACUCUAUAUAUUGAUACAUUAUAUACCUUAUACAUACAUAAAUUGGUGUUAGCCAACAAUAUCAACAUCAAGGGCUGGUUUUUUUUUUUUUUAGAUUUAUUCCAUAUCGAUACGCAGGGCCGAAUUAUUUAAAAUAUUACGAUGUUCUUAAGAAAGAAAAAAAAAACAUUUCGCGUUAAAAUCGUGAAAAAACUCGGGAAAAUUUGUUUUUUCCAUUAUGAUUAAAACGAUAAGAUAAUAUAUCGACGAUAAGAUGUAUGUCAUGUACUGAUGGUUAUUGUCUUUACAACCCACCACACGUCAAACACGAAAUAAUUUCGCGUUUUAACCGUAGACAUUAUCGUCCAAAAAGUAAACGUGCAAAAAUCGAUUUGUAUUUACAAAUUCAUUUUCACUAUUUGUGCCUAGGGUCGGUAUAAUACAAUAUGUGUUAUAGGGUUCGAAAUUCCGUUAAAUAAUAAAAAAAAAAAAAACCAAUUUUUAAAUAUCCAAGCAAUAACCUAAUCACUAACUUUUAUACGGCGUUUUUUUUUUUUAUUUUUUAAAAUAAGUAUUUCGUGGAAAAUUUGAAUGACCCUAACAAUAAUUCAUUAUAUAUUGCCUAUAUUGCCAUAUUCUGCGUUUUAGUAUUAGUUAUAGUUUGGUAGUUUUCGCUAAUAUAUUUAUGGCAAACAUGAUAUGCGAAAUAGGUACGUAUGGUCGUGCACAGUAUCGACUUGUCUACUCGCUAAUAUUCGAGAACCACCUGCAACCUUGUUAUUACACGAGCUGGAGACUCGGCGUCAUUUCACCGAGACGCAUGUUUUAUAAUAAUAAAAAAAAAAAAAAAUUUUAAAAAUACGUUUAACCGUGUAUAUUCUAUUUUCACCGGGCGAAACGGGCCGCGAACGAGUUGCGCCCCGUUGCGUUUUCGUCGAGUUACGCGAGUGACGCACAAGCACACAGAUCGACGAUAACGAUAGACGACGGUCGGACCGCCAAAAACGAAAUGAUAGUACCGGAAAAAUGUACCCGGUUCGACCGCGGAUAGCGAAAAUAUUUCAAUGCGUAACCUGUGGAUUUGAUCGUGCCGUCGCGUUAGGCGCUACAAGCACUUCGUGUAGGAAAAAAAAAAAAAAAAAGGGCAAAAAUUCAAAAUGAUAAUUACUUUGGAUCGUUGUAUAAGACAACAACGCGCGCGUUUACGGCCCGCGUUCGUUCCCUUCGCCUCCUCCUCCCGCCCGGUGUGCGCCGCCGCUCGCACUCGUACGCACUCGGACGCGGCCGACGGGGCACACGAAAACGCCGCGAAUCGUACGCGAUUAUCACGGGCGAUAAUAUUUGCGCGCGACACGGCACCGCGCCGGUUUUCAUUCAUCCGGUACCCACGGAACACGAUUCGCGGCGGUCGAACCGGCGCCCCGGCGAAUGUCCGAGACGCGUAAUACGAUAAUGAUAAUAUCGCGUGAUGAUAUUUUCGUAUUUCUCACCCCCCCCACUCACUCCUCUCCCCGUCCGCGGGACGUCGAUCGACCCCUUUUUUUUUUUUUUUUAUUUUUCUCCCGCGGCCAUCACCGCGGGCGCCCACACGCAUCGCACGCCGCGCGCCCGCGUAUAUUAUUAUUAUUAUUAUUAUUAUUAUUAUUAUACGUGUGUGUCGGACGUGUUGUGCCCGCCGCCGCCGCCGCCGCCACCGCCUGCACGGUGCGUGCGCGCGCCUACCGGCCGGCGGCGGGUGGGGCGGGCGGAGGCGAAGAUUCCGCCGCCGCCGCCGCCGUCAUCGUCGGCACGGCCGCGUGCGCGCGUGUGUGUAUAAUUGCGGGCAACAUGGCGCGGGUCUCGUCUUUUGAUGGAGGACCAAUGCAAGCGCGCACCGGGACGGCCCUACAAAUGACGCUCCUCCGCAUUAAAGCGCCGACGGGCACCCGCCGCCGCCGCCGCCGCCGCCGUACCGCUUAUCGUACUUUUACAUUCGGCAUUUCGCCCGCCGCCGCCGUCGUCCCUCGUUCAACCGCGCCGCCGCCGCGCCGGGCCCUAUAGCCUUUUUCUUUUCCGUAACCCUUCGCCCCUGCCCGAACCGCCGCCCGCGUCCUUUUUCCCCCUCACCGCGCCCGUCCAGCCAUAAUGUUUUAUGCAUACCUAAUGGACCUAAUACGCGCGCGCCGUGUACGGUUUCGAUAUUUUUACAAGAUCGUCGUAAACACCAUCCUGCGUUAUACGAGUGCACGAGCAUUAUUGUCAAGUACACACGAAAAUCCCGCAGACGGGUACGCAGAACAACAUUAUCGCGACGCGUAUCUUAACAGACGCACUCGUGUAUCGCGUUGUGUAUUUGUAGGGGGUUUUUAAUUUUUUUUUUUCGACUCGAGCCACGUACGUAUUAUUAUUUUUGUCACGGUUUUGUUUAUCAAAGCUGCUACGGAGGACGGACGGUUCGAAACCGCCGGUUACGUGCGCAGCGGCCCGUCGGUAUUUAACGAAAAUUGAACAUUGCAAAGUGUUAAAUUCAAACACUGAGCUAAACUGUUUACAGAUCCACCAGCGAUACGAUCACACCUGUGUUUCGCGAUGUCUUCCACAUUAUACAUUCGCACAUUAUUCUUCGUCCAACUUUUCUGCCAGAAAUCUCGCUCCAAUCGAAAAAUGACAAAAGCGCUUUUAAGUGUAGAGUUUCAAGUCUGGCCGCUGCGUUGAGAAUAUUAUUGCCCGAUUUUUCAAGUGAUUUCCUUUCAAUAAUUGGUAAAACCGGGAAAUUUUACGAAAAUAACGGUUCUAUCGUCACCUAUUAUAAAGAAAACUACAAACAAAUGGAAAAACUUUAAAAUCUGACAAGUGCGACCUACGUCGGUGUUCAAUUUCAUUUUUACGACGAUAAUAACAAUUUCUAAAAGUUUCAAAAAAUCCAUCAUUUCAAAAUCGACGUUUAAGUAUUUUAUUGCCAUAUACUUGGAAUGUAAACUGAUGUUUUAUAGCUCAAGGUUAUAUUUAAGCUUAAAAUAAUAGUGUAAAAUCUCCGAACGUUCUAAUACGGUUAUUGUUGUAACUCCAUGAUGGUGUUAAAACACUGUUGACAAUAAAUAUCCGUUCAAACCGUUCUGCAUAGCAUUUUCGAUUAGUGUUGCGUGAGUUUAAAUUUAAGUUUACGGGCACAUUUUCAACGAGCUAUAUCUUAGCAAACUGAAUGUUACAAAUCGUAUAUUAUUUUAAUUUCAAUUGGAAAAAAUCCCGGGUAUCGCUCGUGUAAAACCAAAGCGAUAUUGUCGGUUUCGACAAAAAGCCAUUGAAUUAGCGGGACAGUCGAGACGCAACGUAAAGAAGACGGUGGCGUGGAAUUUGACCUUUCUAGAUUCCUGAAAUUCGAACGAUUGUCGAUUAGAACUCGGAGGCGAUCAAUGUAAAUCGAAGCAGCGAAAAACCAGACGGCCGGGCGUCUCUAAACCGCACGUACCGGAAGUGAUAACCGGGAAAGUGAUGGCUGACAAAUUACGUUCAACAAUAAAAACCUUCGAGAAAUUAGCGUCGAGCUAACAAGUUGGAAUCGAAAUUUCCGCCGCUCUAGCGGAUUAUAUGACCGUUAUACGGACGGUUGUGUAUGUCAAUACGUUCGCGAGAAAUGUAAAGUUUUCAAAAUGACAGUUUCGUAUUCCGGUGACAAACGGAAAUUGAUAAUCGAUUGUGCGGACGAAAACCAUAGACGCAAUAUACAGUGAAACAACUAAACCAACCAACUGCAACAGUAUAGGUGACCGAGUGAAAAAAAAAAAAAAAUCACUUAUGUAAUAAAUCCAACUAAUUUCGUAUAGUAAUUAUAUUAAUGAUCUUAUUGUAAUUUUCGUUUUAGAUUCGAAACAUAGCGAGGAAUCUAUUGGGUUUACUUUGAAUGUUUUAAUUAUAAUUAAUAUGCGUUAAAAAAAAAAAAACAAUGUUCUUUUUUCUUUCUUAACCAAUGUAUUUUUUAAUGAUAUUGAAUAUAAAACUCAAUAUUAUUUAACGUAGUUAUUUAUUAUUGUUAUUUCUUAUCGUCUCAGUCUACUAUUAAUUUAACGGCAACGGUACGAUUCACAUUUAGGUAAUCUUUAUCUUUUGUGUUCAUAUCAAUAAUGAUAAUUGUAUAUUUUUUAGUAAUAAACUUUGAAUAAUUUUUUGUAUAAUUAACAUUUUUUCGUAUAUAUUUUGCAAUUUUUUUCGUGCAUAUAUUGCUUUUUUUACUUACUAUAACUUCCGAGCUUUGUUAAUAAUAAUAAUAAUAAUAAUAAUACAGGUAUGAUAUAACCCGCUCUUUCUGUAUUUAUGGUUCACGUUUGCGUUUCGUGAGUAUAGGUACAUAUUUGAAGGUGGUGACAGGGGUGCGUCACAUCUUAGAGCGCCACACGUGGAAAAUAGUUCGUCCGAAUUAUUGUAACGAAAUUGUAGGAAUAUAAAUAUAUUAUUUUUUUCAUACGAACAAAGAAUGUAUAAUAUAAAAGUUUUACAAUUUUCACAUACGUAUAUAUUAUGUACAGGUAUAUUGUGCGAGGCGACUGCUCGUCUUGCGAAUGCGAGCCGUUGGAUAAUUUAAAAGAAAAAAAAAAAAGCCGGAAACAUUUUAUACAUGUAUACAUCCGCCUUUUAGUCAUUGACAAACACGCCGAACCGACUAUAUUGUUACGCGUACAUAUCUGUUGUAGCUAUACUUAUAAAAUAUGCAUGCAUAUAUGUAUAAUUUAAUAUACUUAAUAUUUCGAUAUUGACUUGGCAUGAAAACGUAUAUUAGCGAUUUCGUAACUCGGUGUAUACGGAUCGUAAACUUAUAAAUAUAUUAUUAUGUAUAGCUAACGAAUUUUGAAUACAUACAUUUAAUAUACAGCUGUAUGCUAAAAUAGUAUAUUAUAUAGUUUGGUUAAAAUUAAAAAAAAUCAAUGAGUGCUACAUAUAUAAUAUAAAUUUAUGUUAUAUGAGUAGGUAAUACACACGCUAUGGCGACCGCGGAUAAAAAUUCAGAGAGGUCCUGUGGCGUGUCGACAAUGUUUUUGAGGACCCACGGUUCCCCCACCGAAAUUUAAGUGGGCGGGCUGGUAAAAUAAGACGGAUAUAUCUUUUAAUAGUGUAAUAAUGUUUGAAAACAUAAAAAAAAAAAAACAAAAUACGCAUUUCAAAAAGUAUAAAUAAUAAUAUGUAUAAUGCGCAAAACAAAAAGCGUAUAUUCAAUAACUGCCUUUUUCUUUCUCGAAUAGAAUCGUUUUUAAUUAUAAUACAAUAUGUGACCCCGUCAUAUUGAUUUUGUAUAGUAUACUCAGUAUAUUUACUUGAUUUUGGCGGAGGGAGAUUGGUUAUGUUUUUCGAGGGGAGCCGUGCAUUUCCCGAGCCCCCUAUUUUCGCCCACGAAUUACCUAUAGUAUAUUAACUAUAAUACCAUAUAUAAUAUACAUAUGCAAGCAUUAUGUCCGUACGGUGCAUCCAGACUGCAUUUAUGUAUUUUUAUUCUUUUUUUAUUGUUUUUUUUUUUUUUUUUACGAAGUGCGCGCGUGUAUGCAGACUAUUCGUUUAUAUAUGCGAUAAACAAGUAUACAAUAUAAUAAUAAUAACAAUCGUAAAAAAUACUUACGUAAACUGCUUGCGGUAAGAAGAACUGCACAUAAUAAUAUACAAACAUUAGGAACGGAUCGUUUACUUUGAAGAGUUUAACGAUUCAAACGAUAGUAUAACUCUUUAUAUUAUACGGUUAGGACAUUAUGACGGGUUCCCAGAUUAUACAUAAAAUACAUAUAUACAAAACGUUUAGUAAAUUCGAAAUGUAUUAUAUCAAUAUCGUAAAAUGGAAGUUUAAAUACAGUCGUAUUAUAAAUUAUUUUCAAUAACGACGUGCAGUUUAUUUGAUUUUUCUAAUCCGAUUUGGAAAUUAAGUUGAACAUUGUUUGUUUAGAAGUAAAAAUGUUCCGAAACGCAAUAAAAAAAAAAAAAUAAUAAUAAAAUAAAAAAUAACAUUCAAAUACCUAAAAACAUAUAUAAACCGCCACAAUAAAUGUAUAAUAAAACAAAAAUUCACUUUAUAUCGCGAUGUAUUAAUCGCGAUUCGACAGUUUUGAAUAUUUAUUUGUAUACGAUUUUGUUGACUUAAUAUUUCGAUUUGUAUAACAACACUAAAAUUGGAUUUAUAAGUUAUCCAAACUCAUAAUAGUCUGCAUAUUAUUACCUAUCAACGGUUUUUUUAACUAUUAUUUUUUUGAAUCAAUGUUAAAAAGGGUGGGAGGCCGCCGUUUGAAAAUCGAAAGUGAAUACUUAUUUAAGGAUAAACUGUUGGGUUAGGAUAGAAGGAGGAGUAAAAAUAUUGUUGUGAAUAGUGUUCCAAUAAAGUUUAGGUAAACCGGAAUUCCACCACAAUAAAUACUGAAAUCAAAUUUACAGUUAUCUACUUGAAAUCUUCAAGGAAAAUCGUCGGAUCAAGAUAACACAAUAAGUCAACCUGACUAUUAUAAUUUCAACGUGACAUUUUUCUAAUAACAUUUACAAUAAAAAUCGAUUUGGUUAGUUGCAAAAUCGUAUUUUAUCUUUGCUUUAAAUUUUAAACCGUGUAAUUUAUGUCGAAAAAUUUUAUAAUAAUUUGACACAUUAUAAUUGUUAAGACGUUUUAAAUGCGUAGUGUGUAGGACGGCGAAAACUCUGAGUGAGAAUACGAGUAUGAUGCAAUUAAUAUUGUGAUAAACUACGGUUUUUUGUCUAUCAUGCAUUAAAAUCUUUGUUAUUACCUACUAAAUUACAUUUAUGUCUGCAUCUUAUAAUAUCUAUACUGCAACGACGGUGGCGACGACGGUGCAUCUACUUGCGAAAACACCCUCGUUAUCUUUCCGAACAAUAAAAUUUCGAUUAUCUCUGUUCGGGGAACGGUAUAUAUAUAUAUACACGUAUAGUGGACGAAUGGAUCGAGGAUACGAAAAAAAAAAAAAGUAAAAAAAAAAAACUACAUUUGAAAAGAUAUACACUAACUACACCGCCGCGCCCUCUUGUCGUAUAGAGCGGAGAAAAUUACCACCAUAAUUUUCCCGGUCAGGCGAAAUACGCGGCGGAGAAGAAGAGCGAAAAAAAAAAAUAAAAAUCUAAUUUAAAAAUCUCAUUAACUUCCCCGGUCUCCUUAUUCAUUUUACACGAGUUUGUUCGUGGGCGAGUGGAAGAAUCCACUCGUUUCUCGACCCGGGCCGCUUGUUUUUUUUUUUUUUUUUUUAAUGAAUAUUAAAGUUGUACGGGAUGACGAAAAAUUAAGAACUCUCGAGCGACUUUAGUUUUAUAGUCGAGUGGCGGUAACCGCAUCCAAAUAAUAAUAAUAAAAGUUGGAAGUUUUUUUUUUUUUUUCCGUGCUCCGCGCACGGGCGACGGUUAUUAAUUUUGAGUCAUUAAUUUCGUUCGGAAUAAUAAUCGUAAAAUAAAAAAAAAAAGAAGAAAAGAAAAGUUUCGAGUAGCGAAAAAAAAUCAUAAAUUUUUACUCGUCGACGGCGGCGGAACGGGCGCCGAGGGAGGGGGAAGUAGUUCUCAAAAGUCGAGAAGCGUAACGAUAUUCGUCUUAAUUAAUGUUGGUGUAUACUUUUUAACGAGCAGGUAAUCAAUCAACGUUCCGUUUUUAUAAUAUAUAUUCUUUAUUUUUUUCGCUUUCCCUCCUUCGGAAAAUGUAUUGUAUAUAUAUAUAUCUAAUAUAUACGGGAUAACUUUUGCGAGAACCGUUUUCCGAAACAACCCGAUGACAAAUUACUGCCAAUUAAACAGCCGUGGGCGGACAUUUUUCAUUUUGUCUCGGCACACGUUAAUGAGAUUGCCGUCCCCGCGCGUAAUUGCGAACAACAAACACGAUUUUUCAAACACAGACGUUCAAAAGAAUAAUUGCAAAAAAAAAAAAUAAUAAGAAAAAAGAACAUUUGACAACGAUGUUCAUAAUAUACAAUACGCUCGUACCUAACAUAUUUUAACGGCCGCCCGCGCGUAAGCGUUGAAAAGCCAGUUUUCACGUUUUUCUACUUUGUACACUUGUAUCGACAAAAGUCGCACUUAUAUUAUAAACUCGAUUUUUGCAACUUUAUGGGUAUUAUUAGGUAUUAUAUGGUAAGGUUGUAAUUAGGGUGCGGAUUUAAAUACCCUAAAAUAACAAGACUAAUGUUUUAAAAAAAUACAAUUUAAUGCAAUGAAAUUAGAAAAAAGAUUAAAAAUUAUUUUAAACGUUGAAAAAAAUAUUUUCUAUUAGGUAUAAAAAUACAACAGUGCAAAUAGUGCAUACGACUACAUGGCAAUUCGAUAACUAACUUAUCGUUUUUUUUUUUUUUUUAUAGCAGCUGGCAUCGUAUUUAUAUUAUCGUAUUAAUCGGUAAAUCUAUACCUAGUACAUUUUAAAAAUAGAAAUAUAAUUUUUUUUCUUUUAGGAGGAAACCAAAAUAAAUUUUAUCAAAUUUUCUUAUAACACUAUGAAGUUUGUAAAAAGAAGAAAAAAAAUGCCUUAAAACCUAAAAAUGCACUUAAAAUGUAAAAAAAAAAUGCUUUAAAAAUAAAAAAAGUUCUAAAAAUGCAGAAUAAAAGUUUCAUAUUUUAAUUCUUUGAUAUAUGAAAUUAAUUUUGUGUUUUGGAAAGCAUUGUUUUAGGACAUUUAGAAAAAUAAUGCAAUUUACAUUAUAAUCCGCACCCAAUAGUUAUAAUAAUUACAAAUUAUAUACGAUACUCCAAUAUACAACUGAACGCAUUGAACAAUAAUUAUUGACGUUAUGAUGCCAAUUAUUUCAGGUAUCACGUGCCUAAUCAAAAUUUAUAUAUUGUGACAUUUCUAGGAUUUUGUGUAAAAAUAAUUUUCAUAUCGUAAUUUUCUUUAAGUUUUAAGUAAAUAGCUUAUAGAGAACAAAACAGUAGCUAACCAAAUUAGAUAAUAUCCCGCAUUUUUUUAUGUUUGAAACUCAAUUCUUAUAAAAUUAUUAUAAUUUGCUUUGUAUGUUAUUACAAUUAUAAAUAUAAAAUAUGCAUGCAUAUGCGCAUCAUAUAAAUACUCCUAUAUUUACCUUUUCCUAAGUUCUUCCAUUAUUUGAACCAUUAAUAAAUAUGGAUAAUAUUUAAAGAUGGGUAAUAUAAUAUGCGUAUAAUACAUAUUAAUACCGAUAAAUUACGUUUAUAAUCAGUAAUAAUCACUGACCAAUAGAACAAUAGUAACCAAUAGUAACAUUCUACUCUCUUGUUAUCCAGUCUCUCUAGGUUAAAUUGUAGGAUACGAUGGGUUUUUUUUUUCACAAACGUCUAAAUUUAAUCGUAUCAUAAAGUUUUAUAUAGUGAAGUGUCCAGACAUUUUCUAUGCGAUUUUAUAUAUAUAUAAGAUAAAUAGUUUGUAGUAGUUUGUACGAAUACAUUUUAAAGAAUCUUCUUUUAUAUAAUAUGUAUACUUCACCCGAAAAUGGAAAUUUAAAAGUCACAGAUCCAAUACAAGACCAAUUUUUAUUCAAUAAAUCGAGUUUUUACUAAUGUGAUAAAUGAAUCACAAAGGGGAAAAGUGGAGUAUGAAAUGAUUGAAUACUGAACCCCACUAAUCACUUAAAUUACUAAUUACCUUCUACAAUAGUAGGAAAAAUAUGAUGUGUAAUAUUUAUAAUAAGUAAUGAGGUUUUUACCUGUCCUGCGCAGAAUUUCUUCAGUAGCGGUGUUCACGUAGAACACGAGUAGAUAUAUUUACGAUUGUUGAUAAUAAUGACGUGUAGAAGGGAAGUGUAAGAAUUAACACUGAACAUCAUUGAGCAAUUAUUUUGAUUUUUUUGACGAGGAGCAAGACCUACUCGAGAAGACGUAACGCGUAUUAUGGAAACGAGAAAAGGCUCUCAGACCAAGGAGUUGGUGCAGGAAGUACAUACGGGGAAGAGAGAUAGUGGGAGUGUGUGUGCAUUGUCAUCCGGUCAGUCAAUAUUAUACAUUUGAUAAUGCAUAUAAUUAAUUAUUACGUCAUGCUAAAUUUAAAUGUUAUUUGUUUAAACAUUUACUAACAAUUUAAAUCUAAUUGACAUUUAAUACAAUACACUGCGGACAAUAACACGGUACGAUAUGACAAAAUGUAAUAUACCUAGAUGAGUAAUAUUAAAAUGUACGAUAUAAUAUGUACGAUAUCGUGUACUACAUCGUAUUAUUCCACCUAUGGCUGACGCAUACAAGUAAAUCUCAAGAUUAAAUUACACUAAAUCAAUACUCAUGUAUGUAUGUAGCAAAUUGUUUUAUUUUUAAUCUAUUGAUGGUAAUGAUGAUGAUGAGGAGAGGGGGGUUGGUGAAAUUACCUCCAUAAUCUCUACUGCGCCCGUCAUACGACCUUAUUUUUUUAAAAAUAAAAACGUUAUGCCGCCAACCGAAUAUUAUGAGAUAUAACUAUGCGAAAAACGUAUAAAAUAUCAGUGUGUAUAUUCGCAUAUAUAUUUUAUCCGCAGCGGUAUUCCAAAUGAAUAACUACGGUAACACGCGCGCGGAUAAAUGAUAAAACUCCACGAAGCGAUAUGCACUGCGAUCAUGCAUAAAACGACGUAAUAUCAUAUUUAAAUUGCAUGCGUGUUAAGAAUAUAUUACAUUUAACUUUGCGUAAUUUUUCAAAUUAUAUAUUUUAUAGCCAUCGUAUAAAUUAAAAUAGUUUUUAUAAUAAAAUAUUAUAAAACGACGACUAUACGAUAGUAUUCGUUUAUCAAUAUUAUUAACGUUCGUUUUAUUAUAUUAUGUCUUGCUGUUGAAAUGGGAAAACUAUAAUGUAUAGAACAGAUAAUUUUCUAUAUUUUAUAUUACGUUUGUCCUGGAUUAAAAAACGGAAGUACACAAACGUCAUAAACGAAUAAAACACUUUAUACACGGUAGUAUUAAAAACUAAUACGUACCCGAGAAAUCUUCGAAUAUUAUUAUUUUUUUUUUUCAAUUUUUCGUUAUACGAGUAUGUAUUAAAGUAUUGAUGUAAAAUACUUCGAUAAAUUUGGUAAUAAUUAAUAUUUUAAAUUCGAUAUAGCUUUAUACGCAUACUACAUAUGUUAGAGAACCUAUAUAUAUAUAUAUAAAAAAAAAAAUAAAUAAUACAAUUUAAUCGCAACAAGAAGAAAAAAACAACCGUGAGCAGCACAGCUCCGUCACGAGAGUAGUAUUUCCAUCUCACCUAUUUUUCGAAUUAUAGAAAUAUUCUUGGUAAAACAAUAAAUAAACGGUUACUAAAAUAAUACAAAAAAAAAAAAUACUAAAACUGUACUUUCACGAAAAAAAUUAAAGAUAAAAUUCGAGCUUGAAAAUCGUUGAAUUGAGAGGGACUUGAAAGUUGAAACACUCAAAAGGCACAAUUAAUGUCAUGCAUGAUAAUGUACAACAUUUCGUCACCUUGAUUUGUGUUAUUUAAAAUUUAUGAUUUUUAAAAAAUUUCAACUGAAAUAUUAAUUAUAAUUACGAUUUGUUCGGGGAACGUACGGAACGUUUUGCAUAUCCUAUACACAUCGAUACGAUUCGAUGAAGUCCGCUCGCGAGCAAUCCGUUAUUUUCUUGUAAAAAUAUACGCGAGUAUAUGCAAGGGGUGGUAAAUAAUUAACCGGGAGAAGAUGCGACCGCCCCUCCACUUUUCCCGUUUCACUCCCACCGGCGGGCGAACAAAUAAUAAGCCGCUGGCACGCCGUAUACGUACAUAGGAGUACGUAUGCACAGUAAUAAUACGUAUAGGUAUACCGAAAUGGGUUUUUUUUUUUUUUUUUUUUUGGCUCGGCGAAUAUUUCAUCUUAUUCUUACCGUUUUUUCCUCUCUCCGCGCGCUCUCAUCACCACGCACUCGUAUAUAUUAUUAUCGCGCGCACAUAUAUAUAUAUAUAUGUACAAUAUAUAUAUAUAUAUGUAUGCUCACGAGAGCGCGCGUCGGCGCACGCACAUACAUACGCAUACACACACACACACACACACACACGCACACAUACAUAAUUGUAUAUACGAGUAUACAAUACCGUCACACCGCCUCCGCCCCCGCCGCCGCCAUGCCGCGCGUCACCGUGCAGCCGCCGUCGCCGCCGCCGUCGCCGCCGUGUCCCGCGCGCGCCGUCGUACGGCGAAUAUAUUCUGGUCGCGCGGUCGUGUGUGCGUGCGCGCCGCGACUCGUACGGUGAAUUUUAUACAUACGCGCGGCGCGCACACACGCACACGCGGUCCGCGCCCGGCCGAAGGGAUGGCAUCUGCGCGCGGCGCGGCGCGAGAAAGUAGCCUCGUUAAGAUUACAUAUGGAAAACAGGAGGGCGACCCGACCGGCGGCGGCGGCGAAGGCCGAAGGGGUAGCGCGGGGGGUCGGGGCGGCUCUCUCGCACUCUCUCCCGUCGCUCGCCGUCCGCCGACCGAGCGCACGCGCGAUAUUCGCGGCGGCGGAAAGGGUCCCCGGCCGCCGCCGGAUCCCUUCGCAUUUCGCAUUGGCGCAAAAGGGAGUUAAAAUAAAAAAAAAAAAAAAAAAGAAAAGAAAAAAAACCUCCGACCGAGUGUAUACGUACGUACGUACGCGGUGUAUGUGUGUACGCGUAUUAUUAUACGCGCGCAUGUAUACGGACCGCGCGUCCGUGUGAGUCGUGUUCGCGCUCGCGUGCGCGCGUGUGUGCGCCGCGCUUCUUUCACUUUCUGUUGCUGUGCAGACAAAACCAAAUUCCGUUAUUGAUUAAUAUCCGCCACCGCCGCCGCCGUAUCCCCCGACCGCCCCGCCGCCGCUCAUCGCCGCCCACCCGACAAACUUUACCCCAUACCGCCGGGUCUUUACGUAUACAUAUAUUUAUGUACGGCGACGAGUGAGCGUCACACGAGUGCGCACGUUUUUUUUAAUGCCGUUCUACACUCGGCGGCGGCGGUACCGGCCCUGAGACCCUUUGGGCCUCCGCCGCCGCCGCCACCGCCACCGCCGCUGACGACGACGACGACGACGACGACGACGAGGAGAACGCGAAAGAAAAGGAAUAAAACAAAAUGUCUUCCGACCCCUCCGCCUAACCGCCACGCCGUCCAUCGUCCCCCUGCGUUUUCCCACUCUCGGAGCGCGUUUGAAUUCGUCUUUGCAUAUAUUAUUAUUAUUAUACGCAUACGUAAUAUUAUACACGGCGACCUCGUCCGCACGCGCGUACCCGUACGGUUUUACGGGCGUAAUAAUACGACGCCUUUGGAUUUCAGACGUUAUUAUAAUUCGCCGGAUAGAUGGCGCGGUCGUCCGCCUAUUAAAUAACACGCUGUCAUUAUACCGAACGGAUUUGUAGGCGCUCAUUAAAAUCCGGCACAAACGAGCGUUCAAAACCGCAAAUAAAUGAAAAAACAAAAAAAUAGUAUUUAGACGUAAUUACAAUUGGAAUUCGUUUUUUAAAUAAAAUUGCACGUAUUAUCAAAAAGAAAUUAACUACUUUGUAUCAAUUAUUUUCGUACUGUUUAACCGUUUUAUUUAGGAAGUUAGAGCUGUUUAGAUGGGUGACUUUUAAAUCACUCUACCGUUUUUGUAUUUUCUAACAAGUGCUUUUUCGGGGAUUUUUUCGACGUUAACAAGCGGUUUUUUGUGGAUUUUAAGUGCAUAUUAAUCCGUUCUCUAGCUAUUGUUAGUAUUUGGUUUUUCGGUUUUAUCGUUUCACACGGGUUUCAUCACCACUGCAAAAAAACUGCGAUAAUAUAAUAAAUUAUAACGAUUAUGUUGCAGAUGAUGUUUAUUGCCUAAAACAAUAGUCUUCGUCCGCAAUCACCCCCGACCUCCUCAACCCGCGUGAUAAUUACUCGUCGUGAGUUGCGGCCCUUUGAAAUUAUUAACACGGAAGAAAAAAAAUCCGCUUACAAAGGGAACGGUUAUGAAACAAAAGUUAAUAUAGUUUUUAAUACAAAUGUUUUAUACUUUGAGUGCUUUAGUGUAUAAUAUUGAAAAUGUAUAUUUUUUUAUUCGAAUGCGAUAUAAAUAUAUUAGUACAUAUUUUUUAAUAAAUGGCUUUACGUCUUUAUUUUUCGGCAAACUUAAAAGAAAAAAAUAUAUUUAAUACUGCUCUUUAAGGUAUUAAUGUAUACCUUGCGGGUCGUUUUAUUUCCUAUUAAAAAAUACAUUUAAAAUAUUUAUGCCUUUCAUUUAAAAAUAAUUUCCCUGCUGUAUUAAAUUACGUAUAUUGCAUAAUAUGGACUCUCCAUAUAAUUUGAAAUUUUUCUCUCUUCUUUUAUGAUGUUUAAUGUAAAUAAGCAAGAAAAUACUCGGAGUAAAAAGAUUACACUAAAAUCACCGAAAAAGAAAUUAGUUAAUAAAUUAUAUUGUCAUAAAAAAAAAAGAAGAAGAAGACACAUUCGUGGUUUUAUAUAUUCGUAUACGCAUUUUUUUUUUUUAUUAAAAUUAAUUUCGAACGUUUCCACUGCUGCAGAGAGUUCUUUUGUAUUCGAAAUUUAAUUAAACUUGACGUUUGGAAUAUAUAAUAUAUUUUCAACAUUCAUCAUCAGAUGAUAUACGCGCGCUACAGUCGUUAAUCAAACACACGCUUAAAAAUGUGCAUGUAUCCCUCCGAAUGAUUAAUGUUGACAAUUUGAUAUGUAUGUUAGAAAUGCCGAGAAUAAUGCACUUUUACGGAAGAAGACCCGCCGAAAGAUAUACCAUUGAACAACGUGAUGGCCAUCUUUUUAUCUUAAUGGGUUUUAUAAUUUUUCGUAAUUGUCGUUUUGUGAUAAUCAUCGUAGAUCGAUAACUUUAAUGUUUGUUGCCGUUUUAUGCAGUAUAGUAGAUGUCAGUUAAAUAUAAAUUUUUGGAAACAUGAAGUUAAAAAUUAAAUCUUAAAAUAAGUCUUAUUUAGAAAUUUAUUUAUUUCCGCGUCGUCGUAUAGAUUAUUUUUCGUAAUAAUUGAGCUGGAAAUCUAAAAACCGUACGGGAUAUCGGUCACUGGGUUGAGUAUAUAUAAAAAAAUAAAAAUAAAAAAAAAGAGACGGCAAAGGCCCGACUAUAUAUAUUGAACAUCUAUCGUAGUAAACGACAGGAAGUUCAGGGUCAAGAGCCAAAAGGUAUAUAGCCUUCAAAACAAAAAUAAAAGUCUCAAGUUUUCGACGCAAGUAAGACCAAAAAGUUAUAUAUUAUAUAUAAGUGAUCUAUAGUCCCGUUUAUGAAUAAAUGAAAAUGUGUAGUUUACUUGAUAAUCGUAUUGACAUUAGUUACGAUGAUACCUGCGUAUUUAAAAAAAUUAAUUGCGUGCCUUUUAAAUAUACAUUCAGUAAACACACACGAAAAAAAAAUUGAUACUGCUGAUGAGUUUGCUACUGUUGUAGGUGGAAAGUUGGGAAAGUAGGGUACAUACAUUUAUUUAAUUUAUAUCUAUACGCAACGAUAAAAUAUUGCUAACGAAACACGAUUCUGAGCGAAGUUCGGUAACGCAAUAUUUUAUUAAAAAAAAAAAAACUGACCGAUCGACUUUUUUUUAAUUUUGUUUUUCUUGGUUUUAAACAAUUAUCGUGGGCUUUCAUACGUACCAACUAAAUAAAAAUAACUUUCAGAAAAUAUUCUACUCUCAUAAAAUUCUGAGCAAAAUUUUUCGAUAGAAAAACAAUAUUGACAAAAAGGGAAAAUAAUGAAACUUUUACUGCCGUAAACUUAUCUGUUUCUCCUCUAUGAUUUUUAUGUAGUAAAAUGAGAACUAUCAGAAAAAUAAUCCAAAAUACUACAAAAAAAAGGUAUUUUGUCAUAUUUUGAUUGGAAUAAGAUUUUUGGUCGAAAAGUCGUUUAUACAAACACGAAAAAUAAAGCACACAUAACAAAACCAAAACAUUUCUCGUUGAGUUCAGAAUCUAAAAUAAAUAACUCCGUCAAAUAUAUUAUACCUAAACCUUAAAACAGUUCUAAAUUAAUAUAUGUUUUUAUAUUUGACUGUUUUGAAAUAUAAAACACUUAAAAACGGACUUCUUGCGCCAUAUUCAAAGUAGGUAAUACGUGUUGUCAAAUAUACAUUCAAUAAUGGCUAUAAAUAUUGUUUUUUUAUUGAACUUCGGCCAUUAUGGUAACAUAAUAUUCGAUUAAAAACUAAAUAGGCACUCUGUGAAUCCUAUAUAGGUAUAAUAAUAUAUAUAUAUAGGUCUAAUUUCUAAUGUUUUACACCAGGGGUGUCCAACCCGCGGCCCUCACUUCAAUUUAAAAACUAUGAAUUAAUUAUAUAUAAUAUAUUAAUAUUACGAGAACAAAUUUAUUUUAAAAAUAUAAACCAUCAAAUAACGUCUGUGUAUUUACCGUUGCGACAUCUUAUCUUAUAUUACAUACGGACGUGUGCAUCGGACCUAAAGGUAAACAUUAUUAGUGUUUUAUCUUUAUUGGCUCCGACACCAAUAUUCUGUGUCAUUUAUCAAAAAAUAAAAAUAAAAUACCUAAUAAUUUGAUUUGUAUAAUAAACUAAUAAUCAAAUAGCGAAAUGUCGUCCAAUAAGAAAAGAAAAGUAACGGACGAAGGAAGGAUAUUCAACGAAAUGUGGACAGCGGAAUACUUUUUUAUAGAAAUGAAAAAUGGGGCAUNAAUUUUAGAGUUAAAAACAUGUCUUUCUUCUCAGCAACUCAAUAUUAAAAAAGCUACUUCUGAGUCCCUAACCGUUACAAAAACUUUUUUUUAUUAUAAAUAAAUUUAUUUUUCUGUGUACUUAUAAUUAAAUUAUUAAAUAUCAAUACUUGUAAAAAUAUUUCUGCUUAUUAUUCGCUAAUGUAAAAUUAUAAAAAAAAAUGUAUUGUUGUAGUAUAGAUUAUAAUUUAAUCAUUAAAUUAGAAUGUAUUAUUAUUUAAAAAAGUAUGUGGCCCACAACAACUUUUACCUACAUGAUGUGGCCCAGUAUUCACAAAAGGUUGGACACCCCUGUUUUACACGGUAACGUUACGUUGUUUGAACAAACCAGUUACUAUUAGGGAAGUUAGCUUUUAUGGGAUUUUCUGAUAGUUUCGGUUUAAUAAUGUGCAUAUUUGAAGCUCGACAGUGAUGUUGAAUCUAUCCGAAUCGGUCUUGAUUAAACUUUUAAUAUCAGAGUGGUGUAUCGCUUCAUAAUUAAAUGUAUAGAUAAGAGUAUUAUUUGUAUUGGCUCGUUGAUUUUUUUUCUAAUAUUUUAAUUUUUAAGCGAAAUAUUAGCAUUUUUAAAUUGUCAUACAUUUUGCAUAAAAAUUAACGUACAAACACAGAAAAUGUUCUUUCUUUUAAGUUUGAUAAUAAGUACUAUGCUAUUAAAACUAAUAACACAAAAUUGGUUUUAUUAUGUUGUUGUGCGUUUACAAAACGAAGGUACAAACAAAUGCACUUAUAUAGCGUCCGCUUAAUAGUUUUAGAUGUUUUGCUCCCCCUCCCCCCUUAGGAUUGACAUACUGCGGAGGUUGUUCUGUUGUCAUCAGAAAUUCUGAUUUGAGAUGGUGAGAUUCUGGGUGUGUAUUAUGCGAAAACGGAUAAGUAGAUAAUAUGGAUAAUACUAUAAUAGUGUUUAAUUGAACCGAAUAAUUUGAUAGUUUCCUAAAAGUGAUAACGCCAUCCAUGCAAUUGUAAUAGUGACAUUAAUGAAAUAAUAGAAUCAAUCCUACUAUAAUUAUUGUACACACGUUACAGUGGUUGAUAAAAAGGGGAAUAAUUAGAUUAUUCCCCUCUCCCACAAGUACGCUAUAAUACAAAUAUAUUAGUCAUAUGACUAAAUUUGCUAUUGGAUAAAUUUGAAUUGUCCCCACCCUUUUUUCUUUCAACCUUUGAUCCGCCCCUGCAUAUGUAAAAGUAUUGCGUGGGUAUGUCUGUGUAUAAUAUGAACGGUGUAAUUUUCUUUUAUUGUGUUUUAUGAAAUCGUAAACUAUGUAUAAUAAAAUGGCCACGGUAUCUGUAUCCAUAUGUAUACGGUAUAGGUAUACCUACCUAUAAUUCUUCGUAUUAUUAUUAUUUUUUUAAACGUUUGAUCAAUUGUUUACGUUAAUAAUAACUACUCGUACCCAUAUAUUAUGAAACGUGUGCAGCACCAUGCAAAUGUUGCAGUGUAAUAAAUGCAGCAAUAACAUAAUAAUAAUAUAUCCGUUUACGUGUUAUAUUGGAGUUAAAAUCGAGCCAUGUUCUUGCAGUUAUUCAUUUUUUUUUUUUUUUAUUACUUUUAUCCCAAAUCGAGUUUAUUUACAGGCCAUUAUUUUAGUAUAAAUCCACGGUGAAAAAAAACCUACGAAUAAUAAUACGUACAAUGUUAUAGUAUUGAGUAUACAAGUGCUCUGAAUUGUAUUCAUACACGAUUAAGUUUACAUAAUACCUAGUAGUAUAUGGAAAUCGAUCGAAUAAAAUUUAGAACGGGAACAAUUUAAAGACUCAGAAAUUAGAUACACUUCGGAUAUGGGACCUACCUUGUGUUACAUUUGCGAACUAAACCGCCCCAAUUUUACGCCUAAUGUAACUCAAUUUAGUCCUAAAAAUAAACUAUAAUUGAGUCGGAAAAAGUUUUUAAAAAUAAUCGAUACCUAUAACUAUAAUUUAACGCAUACGGUAUAUGGUUGAAAACAUCGUUUAUUUUUACUGCGAAUAUAAGUUUGUUUUAUAUAAAAGUCUUAAAUUUUCUUCUUUAGUUUUUCGCUUUGAAUAGAUUUUUUUUAACGGAUAAUUUCAUGCGCAGUGUUCAGCGCGUUAAAAUAAUGAACAUCCCGAUUUAACUAUAAUAUCUUUGGUCUCAGGGAAAUAACGAUUUGGUCAAUUUUGUAUAACAUUCAAUGCAAGCAAAUUUAAUUUUAAUGAUAUUUUUAAACAAACUAAACUUAAAAAUAAACAAUAAAUUUAUAAUUUAUGUUUUUUUUUUUUACCAAUAAAAAGUACUUUAUAGUGACUUAAGAUAUUAUAUUUUAAUUAACAUUACAGGCAUAGCGUGUGUUAGAAUAAAUAUAUAGCCUUAUGUCAUUUUGAUCAAUAAGCAAAGAAUAAAACAAAAAAAAAUUACAUAAUACAAAAUUGUGUACAAAAAUUACCGAUUAUGGACUUAAGCAUUGUUCUUAAAUAAACUAGUUGCUGUUUUAUCGGAUUCCGCAAUUAUUAUGCGGUUCGUAUUGUCGGACUGUAUUCGGUCUAUAGGAUUGAAUAUCGUUGUACAACACUGCGAUCGGAUAUUCUUUGACAGACAUUUUAAACACGCAUAUACAAUUUAUUGUAAACCAGACAUUACAUAUUAUGUUAUAGAGAACGCGUAUCUUGCAUUAUAACCGUAUAUACUGCAAUAGAGUUACACUUACGAGUAUACACAUUAUAAUAUGUACCGGAUUUCUUCAGCUCGGUCGAAAAAAUAAAAAAUUGACUAGGUAAAUAUAUAUAUAUAUAUAUAUAUAUAUUAGAUGCAAACGUCGAGUGUUUCUCACGGUUCGACAUAAAAACGCCUAAAAGUAUAAACGUGUAUUUUUCAGUCAUGGUCACGGUCGAAUCGACGGUUUCGAAAGCACCCGAUAUAAUAGUAUACGAGUAUAAGUAUGGUACAUAAUUUUAACAGUUUUUCUCCGAAAAUACGUUGUCUUCAAAUUCGAUAAUAUUAAGUAUUUAUACACAUUAUGUUUAUACAUAGAGAGCCUAAUAAUAAUAUGCAUUCUUUGUUAUCUAGGCUAGCUAUAUUUAUUCCGUUGAAUUUGAAUAUCGCUGAUGGUCAUAUAUCAAUGAUGAUACAUCGCCCCCCUUCUGUGUUGAAAAUCAGAGGAAAAACUCACUUGUGCGCUUAAAAACGUAUCUCAUUAUUACAAAAAUAUGUUAACAAUUAUUUAUCGUAUUAUUAUUACCUACCUACCUACCUACCUACCGGCGGUGGUGGUGGCUGAAUCUCAAAACCAACAAAACUACGUGUUUUACCGCUCGCCCGCAUAAUGUAUAAACGCAAAUUCCCGAAUCUAAUUAAAAAUAUUGUUUUUUUCUUCCCUCUCGGGUUGGGGUUUUUUUUUUUUUAUUAUUAUUACGAUUAUUUUUUUUUAACGCCCGCUUUAUUUCCUUCUUUGUUAUUGUCGUCCCUUUGCAGCUCUCCCCUCCUUUAAUAAUAUUCGUUGUCUUGGCGGUAUUCCACAAGAGAGGUAAUAUUUUCCGGUAGAUAGCUUUUGGGCCACUAAAGGGUCCGGCGCGGUGGUUCUUUCCUUUUCGCUCCUCCAUUCUUUUCGCCUAGUGUUAUUAAUCAUUUAACGUAGUUAGUGCGCGCCGCUGCCGUUCACUCCUCCCCCGUCACGGACAAAGGGGGUUGAAACCUGCCCGCAGGGUUUCUUCGUGUUUUUUUUUUUUUUGCUUUCCUUUCCUCCCCUAUCACGCCCUCCGAGCUCCCGCGCCACUGUUCUCGUUUAAUUUCCUCGGGAAAACGAAAACGACAAAUUUCUGUUGAACAUUAAUUAAUGAUGUUGUUGUUGUUGCCGUUGUUUUUUUUUUUUUCACUCCCGAUUUGAUUUAUUAUUGGAGUACCCGGAGAUUAAUAAAUAUCGAAAAAGAACUACGACGUUCAUUAAUCCGCAUUAGUAUGUACUCGUGUAUAUAUAUAUACAUACGUGUGUGUGUGUAUGUGCGAGAGCGCGCGCCCGUGUGUGUUUAUAUAAAAAAGUAUAAAAUAAAAUACACAAAAAAGCUGUACGGAACGGUCCUCCCCGCGCGAAGUCUUCGACGCGACGGCGGCGGCGGGCGCUUGACGUUUGCUGCACAGUUACCGAACGCUAAAAGUGCGCGGCUCGUAAAUCACGUAAAGCCUCCGCGACUCUGACGUAACUUUUAUUAUUAUUAUUAUUAUUAUUGUGUUGUUUUUUUUUUCCUCCCGUUCAUUUCAGUCUUUCUCUAUAUAUCCUCGUCCUCGACGCCACCCGUUUACUAGUAGUCUGCGUUAUUGUUUACGCGGAACUGAUCGGCACCGGUUUACACCGAUCGCGAGCGACCGUACUGCCGACAGUUGCCGUGCUCGGGACGCCCGGGACGCAUAGGUGUCGCGAAAUUGCCUAUUCGGUCCGCCGCACACAUUUUACUGUAUUUUUCGAUACGGGUAUUAUUCGAAUUUAAAAUCAAAAUAAAAAACACACGUGAGCAGCGAAGUUCCAUCACUAAAGUCGAAUUUCACCCAGCCUAUUGCGCGUUAUGGAGAUAGAGUGGCACCCGAACUAUAUUUGUAUCGUGUAGUAGAAUUUAAAAUUCAAAACCACCACCUACCUCGAAAACUUCUGUAUCCUAAUUUUACUAUCCAAAAAUUAAAAUGUAUAACUUUUGAAUUGGUAUAAACCUAUUCUACCCGAAUAUCGCAAAUUUCGAUUACCGAGUACACCUAUACCUACCUAAAAUAUGAUGUGUAGAAACUGCUAUACUUGAAGUAUAGUUUGGCGCCGUUGUAGAGAUAUGCUUCGUUAAUUCUUUAACAAUAAAUUACCAUAUUUUAUAAUAUUAUACCACAAGUUUACAAGUAUUAAACUACCACCAAAAAAAAAAAAAAAAAAAAGGGAUGCGCAGAGCUAAAAAAAUUCAUCACUAGAAAUAACCGCCAAAUUCAAUUUGAAUUCUUAUUUAAAUUUAAUUCAAUGUUUAUCACUUCAACAAGCCUAUAAAAAAAAAACUCUGAUUCCCGAAUAAAAGCGCAUUAGGUCUGCGAGGAGCUGUAAAAAUGUCCAAAAGUAGCUGGAAAAUGAUCUAUAUAUGUAUUUAUAUAACAGACACAGUAUAGUUUCUGGUUUUUAUUUUUGAAGAAAAUUUGUACCCUUAAAUAAAAUAUGAUAAUAAUUUUUUUUUCAUAAGUGUUUAAAGUUUAAAUUUUUUUGAAAACCGUGAAAUUCACAGCAUUUCAAAACACGUUAAAACUGAACUUCACUUAGUAUCGUUUUUUGUCAAUAAUGAUUUCUUUUUGGAUGCAGAUAUAAAAUAAAUUACUUUUCAUACUUAUUAUUCUACCUUCUCAACUCUUUACCUACAAUACCCAUCAGCACUAUUCAGCAGUAUGUUAUUUGUUUUCAUUUGUAUAAUUACGCAUCAUCUUUUUGACGCUGGAUGUUGCAACACUUUAUUAUGCGUGAAUAAUUUUUUUUUUAAAAUCCCAGUUUUUUUUAUAGGUUAUAGAUUUCAAAACAACCGUUCUUAUAGCCUUCGGUGUGUUCGAGAGCAGGACGCCAUUUACCGCUUCCGUCUACCCAACCGUGACAAUAGUAUAAAAAUACCUUUAGUAAAAUAUAUUGUAGUACCUAUUGGUACGCUUAAUAUAUAAUUUAUAUUGUUGAUUCUAAACGUAGAUCUCGAUCAAACACUCUGAACCGAGCAUUCAGGAAAGGAAAACAAUUUUUAGGGUGCCUAUUACAACUAACUCUUAUUAUAUACUUAACUAACGAGAAUGUAUUAUAUUAUACCUGCCACCUAGCUUUAAAUGCAUGUUUGAUAAGUGAAAAUUUAAAACGCCAAAAAUUGUUAUAAGUCAUCGGCUAUCGGGUAUUAUAUUAUUAUAAGAAGAGGCUUCUGUUACACUGUGCUAAACCUUAUGAUACUUUGCCAAAACAUCAUAAAUUAAGUUUUACGUGCGCCAUCGUAAUUUUACGAUAGAACGGGAUUUAAAAUCUAAUCGACCAAUCUAUUAUCUUCUAUUUUAAUUUAAGAAAGUGUCUGUUUGUCCAUUUGUUUGUUUGCUUACCUGAACGUGAUAUACAGUAAAAUCCAAUGGCGUAGCCAAGAUUUAGGGUGAGCUAAAUACGUUUUUGUUUAAAUCAUGGUUAUUAAGAGGGGUUGGAAGCGUUCUACUACCCCUUAAAAAAACAAUAAAAAUGUUUUAACUAAUGUAAUAUUGAAUGUAAUAAUUUGAAUAAAAUUGCAUAAAAAAAACUUAAUUAUGAAAUAAAGAUAAAAUAUAUAGAAUGGAUGGCCAUAAUGUCUUAUAACUACCUUUUACACCUGUUUAACUACUGCAAUCUCCAGAAAAAUAUUGAUUAAAGGCAGUAAUUUUUAGUAAUUAGAAAUCUAUUUUCUCCUUUUUAAAUAUAUUUCCAUACGAUUCAGUGAAGAACAACACAUUUUUUCAGUGAAUAAAUUGACUAGAAACUUAUUAAAAUAGUAUACAUAUAUUCAUGCGGCCCACGAGAAGGGUUACACCCCUUUUAGAUACUUGUCACUUGCCGAAUUUAUCGCACACAAUGAGUAAUUUGAAAAUUUACAUGCACAGAAUUGUAUCAUCCUUAUGUACUCGAAUAAUCGGAUUUUAAAAAUGUAACCCCUAAAGGAUGGAUGAUAUGUGUGUUUUAGUAUUUUAUUAAUGAACGUAUACGAAAAUUAUGGGUUACUUUUGUGACAUGGACGAAAAUACAUUAGUUUCAUUUUGUUGUCAUAGGCUAGGAUGCAUUGGACGUGGCAUUUAAAAAUAAAUUAAUUGCCGGUCAAUAACAGUUAAAUGUAAUACCUUAUGGAAACGAGGGUGAAAAUGAGGAGUCACUGGAAGACACGAUAUAAUUUGCCGUUUUUACAAUAAAUUUAAAUUAUUUAAUUUAUUUGCUUAAACUAAACAAUUUUCUAACUUUGUUUAAUGAUAUUACACGUAUUACUAACUAUUAUAGUGGAUAUUAUGUGAGAUCAACAAAUUAACGUAAUUAAAAAAAAAAAAAAACAAAACUUUAGUUACAAAUUAUACUAUGAAUAAAAAAUGUAAAAUGUUUGUAUGUUGCUUACAAAAUUUUGUACACGUGAAUACACCCUGGUACCAAUACACCUAUAAUGACUGAUUUAAAUUUAAAUUUAAUUGAUGACUUAUUUAAAUGAAUUAUAUUAUUCGCAUUCUUUAUAACAAUCCGGUGAAUUAAACAGUUCAACAGUGGCGUAAUUUGGUAACGUUUGUGGGGGGGGGGAAAUGAAAUGUUUUUACAUGUUACCCCACCCCCAUUCACAAAACAAAUAUUUUUUUUUUUCAUAAUCACCUUUUAGUAUAAUAAAUGUAUGUACCCACAUGCAUGUGAUCAUCUAAUCAUAAAGUGUUUGUCAGAUAAUCUAAACAGUUAUUAGAUACAUACGCAGUAUGUAUUCCGCUAAAUAAAUUUACUAAACGUACCACGCAGAACAAUAUAUUAAAUCGCGUAUUUUCUAGAAUAUAUCAAUUCCUGCUAAUUUGUCUAGUAUUUGGUGAUAUUUUUGUAGAUACUACUUCAUAUGUAAAGCUCAUUUAGAGGAUCUGAAUGAUGUUUUAUUGUAUUUUAACGUAGAAAAAUCUAUGUAAAAUGACUUAACAAACAAUAGGUAAUCUUAUUUAUGAAAAACUGUUGGUUAAUGUCUUUCGCUUUGGCAGGGCAGUAUGCACCUGCGUUUGUUACGAAGUAUUUAUGUACAGAUAGCGUGGGAAUUCGGGUUUUUUAUAUUAAUUCUGCAAAAUAUAGACUAUAUAUUGUGAUAAUAUUUAUAGUUAAAUAAGUACAUAAAUAAUAUAGUUCCCCGGUCUCUUCAUAAAAAAAAAAAAAAGGUGUUGUGGGAGGGAUACAACACCCAAAUCCCCCCCGCCCCGGUAAUUACGCCAAAGCAGUUAAAUAAUACGUGAGUAUUAUUAUAAUAUUGUACGCACAAAUUAUUAAAUUCGUUUGAAUAGUAAACGUUAAAGACCGUAAUAGUAUAUAAUACGAAUAUCAUAAAUGUCGUAAAUGUUGAUGAAUUAAACGAAUUAAAAAGGAGGAGUUUUUUUUUCGUUAGACAGACACCGGUACACCGGUAUAGUAGUAAUCAUUAAUUAUAAAGAAACUGCGUUUUAUGCUAAUCGCUAGUAUAAUAUCAUUUUAAUUUAUACGCGUUUUUUUCGGGUACCUUUCCGUCUGCUGACCCGAGAUGAAAAAAAAAAAAGGGAUAAAAAAGGAAAUCUUGUUAAAAACGUAAAAAAGAGAGCUGAGCAAGGAUAAAGAGCGGGCGGCGCGGAGGGUAGUGGGGGCGAGCGAGAAAGAGGGAAAGAGAGUGGGAGAGAGAGAGAGAGAGAGAGAGAGAGGGAGAGAGAUAAAGAGAAAGACAAAGUGAGGGAGGAGACGGAGAGAAAAAACGCGGUUCUCAUAGUAUAUUCAGCGCAGUGACGUAAAAAGCUUUUAGUUCCCGGGGCCCCGUUAACCGUUUUGCCGGACUCAUUUACCCUCAUUUCGCGGCGGUGGAGGCGGCGGCGCCGUCGGAAAGGGAAUGGUGUGUAUAAAGAAAACAGGGAACCUUUUUAAAAAUGAAGGGAUUUACUGGAUACGAGCUCUGCGAGGCAUAUACGGCCGCGUAUAAUCGAGAGAAAUGGUCCGGUUGCCGCUCUCCCGCGCCCGCUGACUUCUUAAUGGAACCAGCUUAGUCUUGUUGGCGGACGAGCGCGCGCGGUAAUAUCCCGCCGUCCACGGCUCGGCGGGCGCGGCGGGGAAAGAAAAAAAUAAAUAAAAAUAAAAAACCUUCACCUCCGUGUGUGCGUGUUAUGUUUAUUGCAUAUAUGCCUCCGGGACCGACGGCCAUUAACUUUUGUCAUUUUCUUUUCUUAUAUAUAUAUUUUUCGCUUAUAUUUUUUUUUUUUAUAUAUAUUUUUUUGGCUUUUUCGUGUUUUCCCUUUCUACCGUUCCCUCUCCGUCUCUAGGCUCCCCGUUUACGCGGCGUACGUGUGCGUUUAUUUAUAUCGCGUGUGUGCGGGUCGACUCUCCCGCGGCGGUCGAGCGGCUCAAACGGAUUACACGUUUUCCUCUUCCGUCGCGCCAUUACACUACAAGCCGUUAUUACCGCAGCCGCCUCUUGCUGCGGUGGCCAUUAAGAAAGAAAAAAAACCACACACACACACACACGAGUCGUAUUAUUACACGCGGACUGUUAUACGACAAUGUCCAUCACUUAUUCGCCCGCCCCUACCACGACUCCCUGGAUUUCCGAGACGCGCGUCAAAUAGUCGCAGGACACGUUUGCCACCGGUCACUCGGCGCCCGUUUACGUCGCACCGUAUAGUUAUUGUCGUCUCCUGGCGCCCGCGGCCCUCCGUAAAUUACCUACCCCCGUCUAGAGCGGCUAAACGCGGACGACCGCUUUUAUCGUUCGAAACGUAAUGUCGAUUAGUCUUCUGUAUAACAAGAUUCGACCCAGAACUCGCGGAUCUCGAGAUAUUUGGAAAAAAAAAAAAACCCGUUUGAACUUAUCGUUUUACUGCCACUUCUACCUUCUCUUUUCCAAAUCCGACGCUCAGUGUCGUGCUACUUUGUAUCGCGUGCUACGAGGGGGGGGGGGUUACAGAAUAAUUGACCGCGAGAUCGGAAGAAAUUUGGUUCGAUCGAUUUUCUAUCUAAUUUGACUAUACAACUUAACCUAACCCAUGAUUAGUUAGGCCAAUAUAUUCAAGAUUUUCUUCAAAAUUUUAACAAUUAUAAAAAUUAUAUAUUUCAACAAUAUAAUUUUAAACGAUUUUUAAAAUAUAUUAUUUGACAAUUAUAUAUUUUUUAACCACUAUAAUCAAAACUUAUAAUAAACUUACUGUAAACAUUCAAGUAUUUAUGUUUGACCAAAAAAUAAUAUUUACAUACUGCACCUACUAAAUAAAAACUACCUACGUAAAAAAACUCGCAAACUUAAAAUGCUAAAAAUCCUCAAAAUGUUUUUACAAUGUUACCACGGCUAGAAAAGGCAAAUGAAAGUUUUCUGUAAAAAUUUCAAGUCUCAAUCUAUGAAUAUUUUAACCGAAUCACAAAAAAAAAAUCAAAAUUAAAAAUAAUAAAACCAUUUUUGUAAUAAAAUGACUUUCUUACUCCUUACUAGAUUCAAAUGCACACACACACACACACGCAAACAGCACACAUUGUAAAAACAAAUGUAUACAAUUUUUGGGGACCAUUAACAUAAUAUUAAAUAUCAACACCAGAUAUUAUAGUAGUAUAUUAUAGUAGUUAUUACUGCAUAAGCAUACUGCUCAAAAAUCAUAAAUCACUGCAAAUAAAAUGUCGGCACUGAGUGGAGUACUGUACGAGUUGUAUUUUUCCCUCGUCAAAGCAUAUUCCGGAAAUCGACAUAAAUAACGUAAAAUUAAACGAACAGUUUCCUGUUUUUCUUAAAUAUUAUAAAAUCAACGCAAAAAUGAAAAAACGACGUGCUACGUCAGUUAGAAAAAUUAAAUAAAGUUAACUUAUAGAUAAAAUGCUACUGAUGAUCGGAGCAAGAUUUCUGGUCGAAAAGUUUUUACAUUGGCAGAAAAAACAAAUACAUUUCUCGCUACUCAAAAUCCAAAAAUACAAAAUUAUUUUAUAUUACACCUAUUCGUAUGUAUAAUACAGAAUAUAUUAUAUGUAUUAUAUGUAUAUAACAGAAUAUAUUAUAUGUAUUAUAUGUAUAUAACAGAAUAUAUUUUUUAUAAUGAUCUUAAGAUCAAAUUUUUAUAAGAAUCGUAAAUAUUACGGCAUAUCAAAUCAUGUAUAAACGAACUUCGUUCGGAAUUGUUUUUCGUUGGCAAUGAUUUAUCGUAGCGUACAGAUGUAAACUAAAUAACUUUAUGUAUCCUACCUCCCCAACUAUCCAUCCACAAUAAUAUUGUGCCCAUCAGUAGUACCAUCUCUUUCUUUUAAUUCGUUUUACCAUGAUUUUCAUGUUUUGUGUUUUUUUGUGCUGUAUUUGAAUUUUCCAUCAGAAAUCUCGAUUUUCCAUCCCAAUAAAAAAACAUAAAGACUUUCUUGUAUUAUUUUUGAUCUAAUAAUUGUAUUGAGGAGGUCUUUUUUUGAUUUUUUUCGUAGCUUUCUUAACGAAUGGAAAAAUUCAAAAUUGUUUGCUGUUUUCUGAGUUACCUUGGUAACAAGGGAAAAAUGCGGCUAAUAAUACUUUGAUCAGAAUCGUUUUUCAUUAGUAAUGUUUUAUAUAUGUACCAUGGAAUAGAGGGCAGCCGUGUAGAGAAUAGGUAUUAUCCAUAUGUUUAUUCCGAUUAGACAUUCGAUUGCACUUGAAAUUCAUAUUUCCUAUCUGAACGUGAGAAUCAUGUCUAUAAUUAAUCGAUUUAUUAUAAUUGAAAGCAGACAUAAAGCAUUGGUGCCAUGGAGCUCGCAACUGUUUUCAUUAUUGUUGUUGUCACCACUGUUUUCAUUAUUGUGACUAUUGUUAUCAUUGUUAUUGACGUUAUUCUUUUUGUCGUUAAUGUCAUCGGUAUUAUUGUUAGUAUUAAUAUUUUGUGUGUUUGUGAAUUAUUGUUCCUAAAUAAGUGCCUCCUCGUGGCACUAUUUGUGGAAGGACCAAGGCUCGAUUUAUUCUUCAUGAGACUAGUAAAAGAAAAAAAAAAUCAGUCAACACAACCGUGAGGAAAUAGAAGCUAUAAAACAAUGUCAAAUAAUCUAGAAAAGAUAAAAAAAGAUACCAUGGAUAUGUUUUAACCAUAGAUACCCACCCAGUAUAGCGCAUAGUUUUUUUUGUUUUUUCCAUCCGUGUUAACAACCAUUCAUAUUUUUUUUUCAUUCCGUCCGUGUAGUAAAGAAAAUUGACUACAAUAAAUAAUAAUCUUUUGGUGUGUAUUUGCCGAUUAUUUUAAAAACUAAUAACUAGAUUGUUAAUUAACUUAUAGAACCGGAAACGGACUUAAGCUAUUAAUAGCUUUUACGCGAUAUAUUUUAUCAUUUAAAUAAACCUACAUAUUUAUAUACCUAUACAGAUAUUAGGGCUAAAGUUGAAAAUUGGAUAAUGUAUAAUUUUCGCUCAAUAGAUCCAGUUUUACGCUGUUAGUUUUAAUAUUAGAGUGAAUUGACCUAUGACCAUCCUUAAAGGUUGAAUUAUUAUUUAUGGUUGGGUAAGUUGGUUGAUUUCGAUAUUUUAAUUUUAAAGCUAAACACGGGUACGUGGAAUAUUAAAAUUUGUAUAUCUUCGCUUAUAAAUUAAAAAUUCUAACAAAAACCAACGCGAAAACACCGCGGACAAUGCUGUUGCCUUUAACUUUGGUAAUAGACUAAUUAUUAUUCACUUUAAUGUUAAAAUUAACCGCACAAAACCGAACGAAAAUAUGACAUUGUCCGAUUUCCAGAUGUAAAUAUUUUGUUUGUUUAAAGUAUAUAACACGUAGCCUUAGUAGUUCGCAUAUUCGAUUGAUUGAACAUAAUAAUAAUAGUAAUACAACGUAUGACGCGUAUAGGUGUUUUCGUUUUGUACUAAACAAACGUUCUAUACGCUCGACAUGUCGAGGUGGCGACGAAAGAUAAUGCGAAUAGUUAUAUCGUCGAAUCGCACGCGUAUGGGAUGGGGGAAAAAAAAAAAAUAGCGAAGAAAGAAAUGCGGCAUCAUUGUCGUCGUCGUCGUUAGAGUAGUUUCGGGAAUUGAUGUGAAAGCAAACAAACGAAAUUUGUCGUAUUUUUCAUUUAUUUUUUUGUGUUUGUCGGCGACGCGUACACACGCGCACACGCACACUCACGCACGCACACACAAACCGGAAACGUUUAAACGAUUGGCCAAAUUGAGUUUGUUCGCGAUUAGCGGGCGGCACAAAAAGCACCGCGUGCGGUUACCGCCGCACCGCGCGCCGCCCGGUCCUUCCGUCCGCCCGAGCGUCCGACUCCGUGACGGUGCCGCCGGCGGCGUCGGCGGCGGACGAUCGAUAUGGAUUCGCCGGGAAACGGUUUUAAUUCUCCGCGUCUGUACGGCCAAUAAAUCCCCCACGCCUAAUACACGUCCUAUGCACGGUAUCUGAUCAAGUAUACGGCGGCGGAGUAAACGACAGAGACGGGACGCGCGGAGACAAACGCGUAAAAACGAAGAAAGUGAACAGAGACAGAGCGCGUGUGCGUAAGAGCGGGGAGUGUAAGCGCGAGAGAAACGUGAAAAAACCGAAGGGAUCCUGUUAAAAAAAAAAAAAAAAAAGUCCUCGGGGAGCCGUCGGAAUCGGUUGAUUGUCCCGCGCGCCGCCGGCCGUCCCUCAAUAUCAAGACCGUAUCUAAUCCCUUGCCGCCGGCCGCUCCGAGGACGAGCGGACGGGGGGAACGAAGAACACGACGACGGUUUUCGGUACAAGUGUCGUGUGCGUGCGUGCGUGUGUGUGUGUGUGUAAGGUCCACGUCCAAAAUCGUCCCCUUCGAUCUGCAGCGCCUUGCCUACAUGCGUGGACCGCUGUACACAUAUAACACCACUCCCUUUCCCUCCCCGCCACCGCGUACCGCCCGGCCCUUCGGUUUAUUUUCGCCAUUGGUCACGUAAAUAGUUAAUGGUUCGGAAAAAUAAAGGCGACAAAGAAAACAACACAUUUGUUCCCGGCGGCGGCGAGGAGAAGUAGUGGAGAGGAGAAAAAGAAAAAAAAAAAAAAAAGACUAUUGUUGUUGACCCUGCCGCCGCGGUUUUCCACCACUUGUUUUUCUUCUCCGUCUUUCCGCGCCCGCGACUCCCCGUCAUACACUAUUAUAUACGUAUACACGUAUAAAAACUACUUUUCCGACUCGCCACUGUUUCUUGUGCGCGGACUUAAUGAGAAAACGUAUACGGGAGAACGACCAUAUAUAUAUAUAUACACGCAGUAUACGUAUUAUACGCGCGUUCGUAUGUAGUAACAAAUAGGUUUUUUAUCCUACAAAUCGUUUUGCUAUUGAUUUUCCUUCCGAUUUCCGCCGAAUACAUAUAUAAUAACAUUAUACCCAUAUUAUAUACAGAUACGCCACUCGUCCGACUACGACGACGACGACGACGAUGACGACGGCAGAAGGGUGCAAACCUUCUGAAAACCUUUUCGGCUGCGUAAAACCGAUUAGACGACGUCGUCGUCGUCGCCGCCGCCGCCGCGUUCAGGACGAUUGACGAGCGACUCGCACAUUUCGGUAAUCGUUACAUUUCAACGAUAUGAUAAAAAAAAAAAAAAAAAAAGAAGAAAACCUCGAGUGCAACGUCACCGUUGAUUAUUUCUACGGGCGUUCGGAGCGUUAAAAUUUCGUAUGAAAUUCACGAAAAUCGUUUUUCAUGCCUAUUGUCGCGUAAGCCGCUCGGACCGUCACAAUACGUAUUCGGAAGCCCGUCGUUGUCCCUUAGUGAUACGCGACCGGCUGCGUGUAAACGAUUCGCGAAUGAAAUUAUGAGGUAGCGUUGUUGAGCGUUAUUCUAUUUCAUCGUGUCGGAUUAUUGUUUCGACAUUUACUGAUUUUUAUAAAUUUAAAUCACUUAUUAGGUUAGGGCUUCUGAAAUAACAUUCGAUUUUCAGCUUCACUCGGAUUAUACCGGUAGUCUGACAGAAGACUCGUCAAUAAUCUAAUUUAUUGUGUAUAACACUGCGCCGAGCCGUUAUUUUUCAAUAAUAUCGCACGCGAAGAUGCCGCUGUUGAUAUUGUCGAAUUCCGGAUAACGAUAUCCGAACGACACAAAAUCCUCUAUAGCCACCAUCGAAAAUAAAGUUAACACCGCGAUAACUAUAAAUCGUGAUAUUUUUCAGUUAGUUAUAAUAUUUGUAUAUAUUUGUCUUUAAUCUGUUUUCCGUCGGCGUCUGUUAAAAGGGAGAAAUCCUGUGCGCGCCCCCGCAACUCGCACGUCAUACGCCACGAUGAUCCGGCGUUGAACCCAGGUAUACUCUGGUGAAAAAAAUUUCCCCCAUCCCAUGACAAACAAAACUAUCGGCCAAACGUAUUUAUUAAACGUACAAUGCCCCGUUACUACAUCUUGCGUUUCACGACCGACGGCUAACCAAAAGUUAGUCCGUCCCAGGAAAAUCGUCCGCAUUAAGCGUUGUGCGAUCGUACGCUAUACGACGCGACCGCCUAUUCGCGAAAUUUUUAAAAACCGUUGGUUUUUCUUACAUUCACGAGUAAAUAAUAUUAUGCGCGUAGGUAUUAAAAAAAGAAAAACAAAGGUUUCUUUUUUGGUUUAUUUUUUUUUUUUGUGUUUUUCGCCAUUGUUGUUCCGGGGCAGAAAUUAAGUUAUAAACCCGCCGGCGACUGUACAGAUCCCCCGUACGUAUAGAUAUAUGCAAAACGCGUGUGUGCACCUGUGGUCCAAAGUAGGUACGCUCCCUUCAUACGUGCGCGUGCGCACACGCCCUUUUCGUUAGUACUCGACCGGAAUAUAUUCGUAUUGUGCCGCGCGGAAAACAAUGACGAGGCGAGAGAGAGAGAGACACGGGGCGAGAGAGACAGGGCGAGAGAGAAAGUCUCCGUCGUGUGUACGCGUAGGUAUAUAAUAUACAUAUAUGUAUACACAAUAAACCGCAUUUGAAACUUUUCUGAUCGAUAAGUGCGGCGGAGGUGACGUUUCCCGAGGCGGGAGUCCGACGACCGCGGGUAUGCGCCGCGGUGUACUUCGUAGCGGGGUUUUUUUUUUUUAUUUGUAUUUUUUUUAAUACCGAGACUAAGGGCCGUCGUUACAACAUGUCCCCGGCCGAACGUUGACUGCUGCCUGACAGUACCCACGGUACAGACUCCGACGACAAGUUUACCGCAAAUCGUUAAUACCGGUUUGCCCCGCCAACACUAUUACAACUGUACGGGCCGACCGCGAAACCGGCCGUUUCAGAUUUAACGAUAAUAAUUUUCCGUUCAACAUGGGGGUGCCAGAGAAUAUUUAGCGCCCCCGAAAAUACCCGAUAAGUUGUUUUGUAAUCAAAUAUUUCAUACGUAUGCAUUUCAUAAUAAUUAAUGAGCAGAACAAAAAUACAAUUAAUUACCUAUACAGACAAGACGUGUAUGCAUAAAAAAUAAAGUUAAACAAGUUUUGAUUCGUUUUGUAAAAUUCUACUUAAUAAAAUUUGUGAUUUCUUAUUAUAAGCACCGUUUAAAAAGGGCCCUUGUGGGGGUAUUGCGGUGUGUCUGUGAUUCCAGCACUCCCGAGGUCGGUGGUCUAGUUGCGCCUAUACAGUGCGUAGAACUCCAUGUUGUCAAUCUCAUAUGUUCAAUAUGCGUUGGUAUGCGCUAAAUAAGUUCACCUGUACAAAAAAAACUGCCGUUAACGGUCGCAGGCCAGAUUUAACAUGUCGGGAUAUUGUAGCAAUUAAAUUGUCAAACGCGUUCGUCGAGCCAGCAGCGGAGGCUUUACCGAGACAUUUUAACGACGGCCCCGAUAUACUUACUAUUAUUGUAGCGGCCUUUGGAGAUAAGAUCAUCGGGACACCGCGGUUAUCUUGUUCAGUGUCAGUCAUGCCGUCGCUUAAAGAGUUACGGGUCACCUUUUCCAGUGAGCGUCUACGUUCAGAUUACGUUCGAAUGUCGACAAUUGUCGAAAAUCUACAGGUUUUUUUAAAAAAAAAAAAAAGAAAAAUGAUUUAUUUAGUUUCUGACAGACGUCAGUAAAUAAAAAUAAUACAAUUAUUUAGUGUAAUAAAUUAUUAUUAUGAUUUUUCAACGGAUCACAAAAGUACGAUCGUCACAUUAUUAAAAUUCCAUCGCAUAGGUAUUAAAACUGCGUUUCCCAGCGGCCGCUUUUGAUGGUCUAUAAGUGUCUAGAUCUUAUCAUCUAAGACUGUAACUACAGGGUGUCCUACGAAGAUAUAUCAUCUGUAAUGUCUACUCCGGAGAUAAUAAUCAUAAUUAAAUUUCGGGAUUUUAUUUUAUAUUACUCACAGGAAUAAGGACUACAAAUAUUUAUAUUUCGAUUAAUUUUUUGUUUUGGUAGAAAAACAAAAAAAAUAACUUGUUAUUUUCGAACAAUUUUGAAGAUAACCAUUUUAUAAAGUUUAUUCUUCUGAAAAUUUUGACUUAUUAACUUUUUAUUUUCAAAUAAAGUAAAUAAAUAUAUAAAUAAAAAAAUGUACACAUAAAAAUUAAAUAAAUAAAUGGAUCAAUGCGUCGCCUGGAUUAUUAUGAUAAGUAUUUUAUACGACAGGUUUCGAAUUCAUCAUCAGGUGUACCACAGUCAAAAUGGAAAACGCGACUGAAUAAAAAAAACUGAAUGACGGAAUACAUCGAAACAAAAAAAAAAAAAUUAUGCAAAUUGGUCAUUUUACACAGAGUAUAAAAAUAAUUUAUUUUAAUAGGAGGAAUAAUUUAAAAUUAGUUAUUAGACUUAGAUUUGUUAAGAACUAUAAAUUAUUUGGUUAUUAUUUAUUAUCUUAAAGCUAUUUUUUAUUUAUAUAUCGAUUUACUAUAUUUAUUUACUUUAUUUAUUUAUGAGUAUUAACCAUUUAGGUAAUUUUGUUUUUACUUUAUUUUUUUUAUUUUCAUUAAAUGCGUGAUUUUAUAUAUUUUUUUAAAGUUCAAAGAAGAGUACCUAUAAUUAUGCAGCAGACUGUAAUCGCAUUCACUGAUUGAUUUUUAAUCAUUAUUAUUAUGAUGACAUUCUAUAAAAUGACUACAUUUUUGAAAAAUAAUAAAAUAAAUUAAUGUUUUUCUUAAGUUUUUUACGAAAAAAUAAACUUCAAUGUAAAUAUUUGUAAUCCUUAACCCUGUGUGUAAUAUGAAAGAAAAAAAAACAGAAUUUGAUUAUCUUUAUUAUCUCUGGAAAUAUUAAAAUGAAUCACUCGCGGGACACUCUGUAUAUAAAUAUAUAUAUUAUAUUUGUUAUGGCUCAAUCGUUUAAUUUCUCGGGUUAAUAAUAUCAUUUUAAAUACCAAACUUGACCGAGGAUAAUCUUAUCAGCGGCGCACACUGGAGAGUUCUGACGUAGCUACCGCUACCCCAAAAUCGUAGGUGGUGGCCUAAACAUAUACUCGGAAAAUAAUGCUAGAAAUCUAUUGUGUAAGUUAAUUAUUAUACAGAAUAACUGUUAGUUAACCGUUAAUUUAGUCACCUGUUAGCCACAAUACUUGAUUUGGUGUGGUUUAAAGCGAUUUCGCGAGUUAGUUGUGUACUGACCCCGUUCGAUUUGCCACCCAAAUUUAAUUUUUAGUGAGCAACACUGAUCUUCUAUAUUAGGUGAUAAAAUGUUAAGUAAAUGCCGAAUCUAUUGCACGCAUACGUGUGGAAAUUCGCAUACAAAAGCAGAAUAUGGUUUGCGUGCACUUCGAAACCGGCUUUCCGAAAUUCAACCACUAAUGUAUGGCCGACCGACACAGUUUUUUUUUAGUAUUUUCGGUACGAAAUUUGAAUUUUCUUUUUGUCGAUUUAUGGGUUACUUUGGCGACAUGGAUGCGAUUAAAAACAGAAAUUAUAUUAUUAGUUAAUUCGAUUGUCACGGGCAAGAAAUUACACUUUUAAAACGUAUGCAAUUAAUCACAGAUAGUUUCUACAUUGUGGUAAAUAAUACACUGCGUACACAAAUAACGCAUGAGUUAGUCAAUAUAAAAUUGUCCAUCUUGCGGCUGUUAAAUUCACUGUCGAUUGUAUAUUAAGUUGGUUUUAAACAGUGGUGGACAAGUUACAAUACAUUGUGUAACUGGAUACUAGUUACAAGUUACUCUAAUUUUGGGCAGUUAAUUACAAGUUACAGUUAUGUAUACCCUGAAUAACUGGUUCCAAGUUACAGUUACUGUAACUAUGUUACAUUACAAGUUACAAGUUACACAUACAAUUUAUUAAAUGUAUAUAAAAAUAAAAUAAUACAGUUUUCCGUCAACAAAAUAAAUUAAAUUUAUUCACACAAUAGAUCAAUAUAAUAGUUAAUACAAUAGUUUUUAAGUUAAAGAUACACAAAACUAUUACACACGUUUAAAACACAUCGUUUCCGAGGUUAACAUAAAAAUAUCACGUUUUAGUUACUAUGAAAAGUGAAUCGAAGAGAAAUGUAUAUUGAUGGUUUCACCAUAUUAUGUUAUAGGUAACGACGCACGUUUCUUGUAAAAAAAUUUUGAUCUGUAUAUAGUCAUUACGCAUUAAACUGGCGGCCAUUUUUGACAUUCCUAGAUUAGAUUAGGUUAAAAUUGAUACUUAAUUUUUUUUUUCACAGUGAACAAGUUUUGAACAAAAUCUACGGGCACGCAACGAUUUAAAAAUUUCAGAUUGUAUGCGUUCGACAUAGUCUCGAAAUUACGAAAUUUAAAAUUUCUAUACGAACGCUCGUUGCUUGUCGUAAAACAAUAGUGCGAAAUUCUUAUGGAAUUUCGCACUUUUUUUUUAAAUUUUUAGUUACAUUUUUAUCAUAUUGUAGAAAGAAAAAGUAUGUUUUUUUUUUUUGGCUUUAGGUUUUUUUCACUUUUCUCGUGUCUAACAGGUGAUAUACACGAUUUAUACCAUCAAUGGCUUUACUGUAUUUUUUUUUACUUUUGUAAUAUUAUUUGAUUUCCGUCGUCGACUAACUUUGUCCGCGGACCCCGAGCGUUUGCGAUUUCAUGUCGGAUAACAAGAUGAAUGCACGCAGUUUUUUUUUUUUUUUUUUUGCAAUUUUAUCAUAAUAUUUUCGACGGUUAGCGAAUAUUAUUGUCGGACGAAAACGCGUUUUUCCGCGCGGGGAUUUUCGCGACCGUUUCCGAUCGAUACAUUAUAAUUGACGCGAAGGCAAGAGCAUUAUAUAUUUAUUAUAAUUUAUAAUGAUAAUGUGAUGUCUCUGUUUGUUGCGCGAAGUGAUAUAUAAACACACACCCACACACACACACAUACACACACACACACAUACGCGGUACCUAUAUACUAUUAAAUACGCAUCGCCAUUUUAAGGUUUUACGAAACUCUAUUGUAUGUAGGUACACACACGUCGAUCCAUCGGUCUCGAGAAAAUAAAAUAAAAUAAAAAACCCCCGGACCAAACGAACCGUUGAUUUCGGUUUUCCUAUAUAUGCAUCAUUUCUACGCGAAUAUUAAAAUCAAUACAGCUCGUGUGUGUGUGUGCAUGUGGGUGUGCGUGUGUGUGCGUGUGUGUGUGUGUGUGUGUGUAUGUGUGUGUGGCUUCGUCUCGGCCCCUUUAAUAUGUAUGUAUACGAGCGAAUCUUUCCAGGCGAAAGACGCGAAUGUUUAUUUUUCAUCAAACUACGGAAAUUCGCAAUUAUUUUUCCCAUAUGUGCUCAGAAAAACGUUCGAUAUACAUACAUAUAUAUAAAUAUACGGUAGGUACGAAGAUUUUUUUUUUUCUCUUAACAACCGAACGACCUACGGCUCAUAAAUGGAAAAAGAUUUUAUUCUAAUAAAAUGCAACGCUCGAAACUAUAUAUAUAUAUGUGUAUAUACACGGUAAAAUUAUAAUAAAUUUUUCACGCGUGAUGGAUUACGUACCUAAUAAUAUUAUAAUAAUUCGAACGGUAAAUCUAAAACUCGUAUAUUAACAGGACGAAUUUCAAUUUUAAAAACGAGUUUGCAAUAAAAUUCAUCGCGGCGCACGUAGACAUUUAAGGCGAUCUAUUCCUUUUUUGUACGGGGUUCGGAAAUUUGCUUGUUUAUUAUUGGUUUAUUUUUAUUAUUUUUUUUUUGGUUUUUUUACUUGGCAUUAAAUCUAGCAGAAUGCUAUGGAAAUUUAUGCCUUCGUUUGUCGUGUAUGCAGCAACUUUCUAACAGGGCAUAUAGAAAAAAUGUGUUCACGUAAAAUUAAUCGGAAGGCUUUUGUGAAUUCAUUUUAAAUAUAAAACACACCCAUGUUAGAACAUUUGUAUCUAUAGAUGACGGCCUUAUUGAUAUUUUACAUAAUUUCUCUGAGUAUAAUUAAUUUAUUAUCAAAGGUGAACAUAGUCGGUCAGAUUGUUUUGAAAAAGUUAUCAUCUACAAGUUGUAUAAUAAUUUUUGGUCUUUUUUCUCUAAAACUGAUUUUAGAGGUCUUUUCGAUUGUUGUUUUGUUAGAUACUGUUUGCUAGAAAAAGCCGGCCUCUUAAUUUCGUUUUUUUUUUAGGUGACACUAAAUAAUUAUGAUGACUGCAAUCAUCUGCCAUAAUAUUAUUUGAUCUCUAAUACAUUUUCCAAGGUUUUUAGUUUUUCGUAGAUUUACGCGUGUCAUAUUCGAUCAUAUAACAUUGUUUUUAGAACACUUAAAAAAAAAAAAAACAUUUUUCAGUUGGGCGUGUUUUUUUUUUUUUUUUUUUUUUUAAGUCGUAAGUCGUAAAAAAAUCAAACUCUGGGGAUACCGCAGGAAACGAUCAGCUUUAGCGAGCGGUCAUAAUAAUUUCACGAGAUAGCGCGACGGGUAUCUGUGUACCGCGAUAAAUUAUUUCCGGUCGAACGUGUUCGGUAAAAAAAACAAAAUUCCGGUGCAGUGGCAGAUCCAGAGAUAAAGGAAACUGAUGGUUCAGCCGUUGUGAGAUGACACUUUUUAGGGUCGAAAAUUAUGAUAGUAAUAUAAUAAUUAUAUAGUUCGUCAUAAUUAUCGAAAACUUUUGAAAAUGUGUUGUACGCGAAUGAUAAUAUACGACUGUUUGCCGGUUAUUUAGCGCAAGUGCGGAAAUCCAAAUUAAUCGGGAUAGCCCGAAACACCGUUUAUACAAACCUAUGCCCGAUACCUAUGUAUCUCGAAUAAAGAAUAUGUAUAUCUUAACUACACUGUUCGUUAACAUAUUAUAUUAUAUUAUGUAGUGUUCUUAAAUUACGGUGAUAAUCGGUAUAAUCGGUAAUUGCGAGAAUCUUCUCAAAAAAUGGAGAAUAUUCGGAAAUUAUUAUUUUUUUCCCCAUUCAAAAUUUAUAGUUAAAGGCUGAAACAAAGGACAAAUGGUUAAGCGCCGUCGCAACGUUGCAAAUACCAACAAAUCAUACCGUGUGGUAUACUCGUUGGCGACCAUAGCUCAUAAAACAACGAGCUCUAAUUCCAGAUAAAUUAUUGCCAACCAUCAACCAAUAAUUAAAACGGUAAUUAAUGAAAAUACUUACAAGUCUGAAAAUUGCACGUCUACGUUAGACAUAAACAGAUAAUUUGUGAAAAAUAUAAUACAGUCGUCGAGAAAAUUAUAGAAUUAUAAAAAAUGCAAUGUAAAUACAUAAUUAGUAACUAUUUCUACUAUUUCCUUGAUAUCUAUUUUCAGAUGUACAUACAUAAUUACCAUUAUUUUACAGUUGUUUAAAUUAAAAAAAAAAACAAAAAACAAGAAAACACGCAUGAUAUUUUUGUAACAAAAUUGACUUUAUUAUUUAUCCGACCUACCUAACGGUCCUUAUAUUCGUUUUAUAAUUCAGUAGGUAUUAUUUGCGAACGAACUGCAGUAUUUUUACUUCUUAAAAAUCGUAUUUUAAAUAAAAUUAACAACUUAUUUAAAACUAUUUUUGUUUUAAACGGAAUGGUUAUGUAAUUACAAUAAUUAAAAAAAAAAAAAAAAAUUUUGUUACACUAAUCGUGGUAACCCGAGAUUAUUCUCACAAAUCACUAUAAUAAUAUACUCGUAUAUCCGAUUGGAAAUUAUUCGAUUCUUUUUUUCUUUUUUUGCAGUCCAAUAGUAAAAUCACGAACGUUUAGUAAUCCUAACCUCCCCGAGGUUUUAUUGUUAGCGGCACUUAGAUUUUUCGCCUCAGUGUCCUUAUCCUUUUAUAUUCGACCGUAAACAACGGCGAAGCGGUCGUAUAAUAUCUAAGCGUUCGUCAGAUACGCCGCCCGGCAGUAUAAGUAUUUUUUUAUUAUUAUUUUUUUUUGCAUCGGCUUCGCUCUGCGCAUUAUUAUUAUUAUAAAUGCAAUAUAAUGCGAUUGAUUAAAGCGAAUGCGUUCGGUUCGAAUGAAUUAUUUGUUAAUGGUUAGUUGCGCUCCCCUCCUGUAUAAUUAUAGACUUAUAAAUCUAACCUAUGCCUGCUUUCCAAACUCAUAUCCAAUUAAAUUGAUUCUCCUUUCCUACUAUUUAAUAUUAAUUUUAGAGUUCCUUUACAUUAAAACUGCUCCUUAGUUCCCUUUCGUUUUCCUCAUCAUCCUUUUGCGUAGCAUAAUAUCGGACAAGUUCUAGAAUUCCAAAUUCCAUUAUAGCUAUACAUUUCAUGGAGCUUAAUUUUGAGUUUAUAUUUAUGUUCAUUAACUUAUACAAUAUCUAGACGGAACCCCGAGGGCUGCGUGGGAGACGUGGUCGAACGGAUCUAGAGAGACACGUUGAUAUUAUUAAGCCCAGUGCGUGAAAGAGAGCGAAUUCGCACUCCGAGGACAGCCGAUUAAAACAUUCCGUUCAUUACCGUAUAAAAAUAUAAUUAUACAAUUUUGUUUUUCAAACAGAAACCGCCGUUUUGAACAUGGAUUUAAAUAGAAAAUAUUUGUCUAGCCAUUUUGAGCACAUUUUGUGCACAACACCGGUAUUGGAUUUAUCGUUUACGAGCCAUAACCGUUUAAAGUUGCGACCGGAAGAGUAGGGAAGGAUAAUAAAUUGCGUAUCUAUUUUCAAACGAUAAAUUGAUUACCCUUACCCAAUACCACUCCGACCUAAACUUUAAACGGUUAUAAUAUUCAUAAACGGUAAAUCCGAUAUCAGCGUCAUGCGUAACCGAAUUUCUGGAAAAAUUCUCUCUAUUCGAAUCCGUGUUUAAAAUGAGAAACGCAAAACGAUUCUGAGCGGAAUUCGAUUGCGCGUGUAUAGAAAGGCCGUAAUAUUCACGGAUUGACAAUAAUUUUCCGUUUUCCUACGUUUAUUCCCGGUUUUUUCCAUUUACUGUGAAACCCCCCACCCCCCCGGAAAACCGAAAAAAUGACCGCCUUAACGUACCGAUUUUCUCUCAGGAAAAGUGCUACGCUCGAAAAUCGGAAUGGAAUUUUCGGCAGGACAAUCGUUCGCGGAUAAAAAAAUAAUAAUAAAAAAAAAAAAUCAAACCGCUCUGUACACAAUAUCGGACCGCGGCCCGAUUAUAUUUUAUCGAUUUUGAACGUAUUAAGGGGACGCGCGCGGUUAAACAAAUGCCUAUGCCCUCAUACGCGGUGUAGUUCUGGACAAAUAAUCCGACGCCCCGCCGGCCGAUCCCCCCCCCAUCCUCCUCCCCCCACCCUACGGGCGACGAUUGCGGCCCGCAAUGACGAUCCGUCCUCGGCGACUCGCGCACGGCGAACGGAGCUCCGCGCGCGACGGACCCGAACGUGUCUCCGGCCGGUAUGUGCGGCGCGUAACGUACACGGAUACCUGCCGCGGUUACGACGACGCGGGACGUGUCGCGCGCGCGUACGUAGCGUGUACGCGGGCGCGCCGCGCACUGGGCCGAGCUGACGAAAAGCGCAAGUGCGACGGCGGCACGGGGGGCGUGUGCCGCCGUCAAUUAUUCGCCGGUAUUUUCGUUAUCGCGCGUCGUAUUGUCUCUCUCUCUCUCUCUCUCUCUCUCUCUCUCUUUCUUUCUCGCGCUCGCCCUCACUCGAACCCUCUCUCGCCCGCGACGUUCGCCGUCCCGCUCCCGCUAUACCGCCGCGGCUCGUACGACGCGCGCCCAACGACGACAAUUAUUAUUACGAAACUCGCGCGCAACCCCUUCGCACCGUCUUCGUCGUCGCCGUCCCUCACGGCCGUAGUUUUUUCCCUUCCGUCGUCUACUGUUCUUUAUUCCCCGUUCUUCUUUCGCGGGCCGCGCGCGCAACGUGAAUAAUAAUUACAAUCCGCCGCCGUCGCCACCGCCCGUAAACCGCUCCCCCGCGCGCAAACAAAAAAAAAAGAAAAAAAGAAAAACCACCCCCCCCCCCCGGUAACUCCCUCGGCGAGCGCGCGCACCCACACGCACACACACAAUGGUUAUAAUAUAUUAUUCGUGUAUUUUACUCGUGUGCGUGCGUCUACGGGAGGGUCGCGGUCGCCGCGUCACGGGCGCGAACGCAUCGCGCGUUGUUUCACGACGAAAACCGAAAGAAACCGCGGGAAACGAUAAAAUUAAAACACGCAUGCGAUUCCGGUGCGGAUCUAUAAAUAACUAUCAUAGUGGAUACGAGUCGUAAAUUUGGUUUUUUUUUCUCCAAAACUUUCCUUUCGUAGUCCCGCGCAUACACUCGCCGCGUGAGAAUUCGCGAUCCGAUCCGUUUACGACUUUUGGUUUCGGUAAAAUCGUCAACUUUUCGUGAUUUUUUCUUUUGUUCUUUGUUUUCGUUACGCGUUAAUUCGUGUCGGUGUUUCGUACGCGUUUCGUCCGUAAAACCGUACUUGGAAACCUGUAAUUUAUUUGUUCAUUUGCCAUUGUUCAAAACGUCUCUCGUUUUCGCCCAAAACGCGUCAUCGACGACGGGGUAUUUCAUGGCGUUUCGGGCGGGGCGUUUUUCGUUUUUCGCUUUCACCGCGACCGUCGAAAACGCGCGUUUCGAUUCGGGAAAACAACGCAAUAACAACGGAAAACCGCCACGGGGCCCGGGAACCAUGCGUAUAUGGCCGCUGUUGUAACGCGCGAGCCGCGAGAACCCCUCGGUAUACCGGCACGCCAGCACCCCCCCUACCCCGGGGCCGACCGUACCGAAUAAAAUAUUAUUAUAACGAUCGGAAACAAUCUUAAUUUCGUCUCUCCCACCACCCCCCCCCCACUGCCGGCCCGGCCCCGCCGACGGAAAACUUUCGUUCCCGUUUUGUUCGCGCCGCAAAGUGCCACGGGAACAUUACGGGCAUGCGGGCGGUCGUCUCUCGCCGUUCACCGGUCCCGUCCGUCCCGGCGUCCCGCGCCGCCGCGACCGCCGUCCGGCCGGGCGCGUUAUGCGCCGUGAGGGUUUCGGUUUCGGGAUAGUUUCGCCCGGUCGACACGCGAACACAAAACGAUUACGGUUGAUUUCGGUUUUCGUUUUUCGGACAACACGUUUCGGUACGUUUCUCGCGAUACGUCUGCGAGCGAAACGCGAUAUUUCGGCCCGGCGCACGGUUCGCCGGCCCGCCUUUCGCGAGCUCCGCGCCGCCGUCGACCCUGCGCGCGCGCCCCGGUCCAACCAGUUUCCACGUGCGAAUUCCGUACUCGUCGGUUGUUCCGCACGGCGAUACCGUUCCCGACGGAACGCCCUCACCCGCCGUCGCCCGUUAACGCGAACGCCGGCGACGCCGUGCCGGGCGCGUACGCGUCUCCAAAACGCGGGCCGGUUGAUUAUCGGCGAGCGUCCGGCGCGACAACGCGGUCGAGUCGAACGCGGCCCGCGUUGUUAUUGCGCGGUCGCAUUUUCGGGGCGAACGCGAUACGGUUGUGCACGCGCCGCGCGACGGACGGCCGCGGCGAUUUCGCCCGGGCCCGCGAACGCGCGACGGCCGGACGGACGGGUUGCGCCGGGCGAUCCGUCGGAUGUCAUUGGCUCCGUUUUCCGUAACGUUUUACGAACCGCGCGGCACUGCGGUUCUCGUGUUCGCCGGGACGAGAACCGGCCGGCCGACACGCCGCUCGGGCACGAGUCGCCGCGCGCCCGGUCGACAACUCGCUCCCGCGGGGCGAACGGCAAACCGGAACGGGGGAAUAUUGUCGCCCGUCCGGUUCGUGGCGGCGCGACAAUUGAAAAAAGGACUUUUUUUUUUUGUUUUUUACCGCGGCUAGAGCGUUUUAAAAUUUAACGAGCCCGAAAACGCAUCCGAUUUCCGCGUAUGAGCGAUAAGCGAGUAAAAGUCUGAAAAUUUUUUUUUUUUUUACUAAAACUAUCAAACGCGCGCGUGUGUCGGUCGGAGCGAGACGAUAUUGAGCGGAUUGUUUGCCGGCAGUCGGCUUUUCCGGUUUUUCCGCAAUCGAAACUGAUAUACGAACGCGAGAAAACUCGGUACGCGCGUUUGUAAUAAAUUCGGCGGACGCGCUUUUCCAGGCCCCGAAUCGGGCGCAUGGUAAUAAAUUGAUGAUUUUUAUUUGAUUACGCUAUGAGAGUGCCCUCUCUGGGAAAUUAUUAUAACACAAACAUUCCCCCCACCCACCGCCCCCGCGAAAAAAAAUCGUUCUCGCGUUACUGUAUACAAGAGCGUAGUCGGUUCGUUUUCGAUGUUUUUAAUUUUACGAUUCCGGCGAUAAUUUCGAUUUUGAUUUUUUUUUUUUUCUAUUUUAAACGGUUUUUCGCGAAACGGGCGCGUGCCGGCAAGUGGCGCCGCCAACCGGAGACCGCGUACCCGGCGGCGGUACGCAUCCGGGCGCGGUGCGAAUAAACGAAACGGAAUGGAAAACGGAAAGGCGAAGAAUACCCCGUGCGCGUGUAUGUAUAUAUAUAUAUAUACAUAUACGCGCGCGGAGGGACUCGACAAUUCGCCCCUCGCCGCACGAAUCUCACCCAUUCGGCCGAAACACAAUACGCGUAUGCCGUACACAGCGGUACGGUAGAGCCGGCGUAGAUUUUCUUCGGGUUUUUCCCCGCCCGUCGCCGUCGCCGCGCCCGGCCGUACACAGCGGCGGCGGGUUUAAUAAUUAAACCGCGCCCGUAUCGCCGCGAAACCGGAAGACGACCCCAUUAUUAUAAUAACGUACGGACGGACAAGCGGCGGUCCUCUUUUACUCCGCGUUCUCAUUCUCGAGAACCGAAAAGAGAAGGAAAAAAAAUAAAAAAAAUAAUGCGAAUUAUCGGAGAAAAGCGUAGAAAAAAAAAAAAAACGCUAAAUAUUUCUUACGAUUCGCGGGCUGUCGGACGUCCGGAAACGGAUUGAUGGGGGGGUGGGGGGUGACGGCAGGAGGACCGUGGGGGACCCGGGACGGUGUUCGGCGAAACGAAAAAUCGCACGGUCCGCUGGCGGCAAAGAAUCGCGUGCGCUGAAUUUUCUCUUGUACGCAAAUUGCGGAAAAUAAAAAAAAAAAAAAACGAACGAACGAACGAACGAGAGANAUCGCGUGCGCUGAAUUUUCUCUUGUACGCAAAUUGCGGAAAAAAAAAAAAAAAAAAAAACGAACGAACGAACGAACGAGAGAUACGGCGAAUUAACCGAGUUUUUCGUUUUUCAUUAUUAUUCACUUCACCCCAUCCCCUCCCGCACGCCGGUCGUAGACUCACGCGGUCCCCGAAGCAAAUAUCCCUGCGACGGUUCCGCCGGACGGGGACCGCGGCUUUUGCGUAUCGUAUGUAUCGUACGCACUUCGGCAUUCCGGGUGUAAACCGUUUUCCGCCCUCCGGUUUUUUUUUUUUUUUAACCGCGGUCCGACGUCCGCGAUUUCCGGUAAAAUCGAUUUCGGGGGCUUUCUCCCCGGCCCGGUCAUUCAUGUAUACAAUCCGAGCGCGGGUUUCGUAGGCGGUUCGCUCUCGUUUCCCGUUGGCCCCGAAACGGAGCUGUGUCGGCUGUACAUUUGAUUUUGUACCGCGCCCAAAUGCACACUCGCGAAAUCGUAUUAUCAUUUCGAUGAUUUUUUUUUUCUUUUUUUUUCUAGUAUUUCAACGCGUUUUCGAGGUUUUCGGGCGCUCUCCGUUGCCGUAACGCUCCCGUAACUUUUUUUUUUUCGAAAACCUGUUCGAAAUAAACGUAGUGUAUUUGUGUUCAUAUCGUGUAAAACGCGUGCCGUGGACAAUUGCACGUUCUAAAUGCGGGCAUGACCCCUCGUCGUUCGUCAGUUCAUCACGUGCCGUACCUGCGUAACGGAUUAGUUUUCUAUUGAAACGGCGAUAAACCGAUUACAACGAUUUUCAAUUUAAUGAUUUUUUUUUUUUUUUUCGGAACUUUAUCGCUUUAUUUUAAAUGCUUUUUUAUUGUUUUUUUUUUUUUUAGGCGUUGACCGUUUCAAAAUCCGUACUCUAACCAUCGUCCUUUCUGGUCGGUUUCCGUACGCGCGCAACCGAUUAUCCUAGCGGGGUUCCGCCCCCUAAAGCGCGUCUCCCACAUCGUGGACCGCGUCUUCACGCUCCGUUCUGGAUUUACCCGGCCGCGGUCUAUUCCCCGGUUCCCGUUGCACGCGUCUAGCCCGUCACGGUUUUUUUCCGUUAGAUUAUGUGCGGAGCGAGGGAACGUAUUGGUUUUACGACCACGUAAAUUCUCUGUUUUUUUUUUUCUUUCUCUGUAAACAAUUUUUCUACCAGGAAUUUCGCUCGGACUUUCAAGUGUACCGAUUUUCCUGAAAGGAAAUCUCAUUGAGGUGGUACUUUAAGGAGAUCGGUUUUCGACAUUCCUAAGGAUUUUCCUAACAAACGGGAAUACCCGGACAAAAAACCUAGGAACAACGGGAAAAUUUACGGAGCACUAUCAUUACGGCUAACCGGACUUCGCUUAGAAUCGUUUUCCGUUAGCAAUGGUUAAUCGUCAAUUACAGGUUUAUUUCCCCUGCGUCAACACCCGCCGACCGCGUCAUUGCGAUUUGCGAGUAUCAAGAAAAUAUUAGUGAUAGUCCUAUACUUUCCGCGCGACCGAGAACGAAUUUUCCAUCAGAAACCUUACGUAGAUUUUCCACAGUUUUUCUGGGAGAAAGUUUCGUCUUGUCGGUGUAUUGGACUUGUAAAACGCGAAAAUUUACGGGGAACAAGAUUUUAUUGUUUUUUCGUUGUAAUUCGGUUAACAAUAAUAGCCGUGCAGACGUGAAAUUUUUACAGAAUAUUUUGAUAGAAACGGUACAUUUUCUGGCCAUUCACAGACAUUUUAAUAUUAUCCAGAUUUAAUCGUUUCCGUCCAGCACAAAUGCUUUUUAUUUCCCUUAGCAGCGAUCGCGCAUUUUUCUGCAAACAUUACGCGUGUAAUGCAUUCAGAAUCGGUUAUUAGUAACCGAUAGUACAUUUAAGAUAUUUUCAAAAGUGUUAUGCCCUCACGACGUUGCUGGUGAAAAUCGAUUUUUGACCUUUCAGUUUUGCGAUAAUCGCUGCAUUGUGUUGAACAAAAAAAAAUGUGGUGAUAUUCUGUUUUCCCCUUUUAUAAUACCGUAUUUAUUGGCCACGCGUUUUAAUACCGUCCGUCGCGUAAAAUUACGGCAGUUUUCCGAGAGCGUUGAAAAAUCACGUGCGUUUUCUAUAAAAUGUCUCCAACAAUCUACGGGGCCGGAACAGUCGGAGUCGGCACGGUUUCCGGGCGUAACAAGCGCCGUCGGGCCGUCGAUUCCACCGAUCCGUCGUAACGACACCGCGCGUCGUAAACGUCGCGAACGCGCCGUGUCGCCGGACCGUACCCGCGUUCCCGCGUGCGCAGCCGUUGCUCCGGGAAAUUGUUUACGCGCCUUCCUGGCUACAAGUUGCACGGCGGCAACGUUCUUCCGGUCACGCCGAACGCGCGUCGAAACGCGGCCGCGGCCGACGACCGGCGAGAGUGCGCCGAUUGUCGCGUGCAAUGUUCGCCGGAAAAAAUCGGAUUUUUUUUUUUCCUUCUUUCUUUCUGUCUUAACCGCGAUGCGUUUUAUCUAUAAUAUUGAAUAUCAAACGCGAAAAUUAUUUAAGUUGCAUUUACCGUUGUUUCCCGUCGGCUCGGUCCGUCUAUCAGUUUAACAACGACAACGACGCGAUUCGCACUGAAUCUCUGUCUUUUCCGCGCGCACUAUUGACGGCACUGUAUCACGCUUUCGAAUAAUAGANGGCAACGUUCUUCCGGUCACGCCGAACGCGCGUCGAAACGCGGCCGCGGCCGACGACCGGCGAGAGUGCGCCGGGCAGUCGCGGCGCGUUGCUCGCGGAUUCGGACCGCGGCGUACGGCGUCCGUGGAAAAAAAAAAAAGCACCGCGGUGUUCGGCAGGAACCGCGCGUUACGACGGAAAACGAUAAUAUCACUGUGACGACUGCGUGGCCCGCGCGGGGGGGUGUCGCGGGAGCCGCGUCCGCGUUCACGGCCGGCCGAGCCACGGCUAUUUGCGUCCAUUAACCGCGGAGCGUCCGUAAAGUCGAACGUUUUCAAAACGCGUAACUCGUGUUUCGCGCGUUCGUUCCGUCGUUAGUUCUACGGAAACACCGCGCGGUCCAUCGAUUUGCGUCGAUUGUCGCGUGCAAUAUUUGCCGGAAAAAAUCGGAUUUUUUUUUUCCCCUUCUUUCUUUCUGUCUUAACCGCGAUGCGUUUUAUCUAUAAUAUUGAAUAUCAAACGCAAAAAUUAUUUAAGUUGCAUUUACCGUUGUUUCCCGUCGGCUCUGUCCGUCUAUCAGUUUAACAGCGACAACGACGCGAUUCGCACUGAAUCUCUGUCUUUUCCGCGCGCACUAUUGACGACACUGUAUUACGCUUUCGAAUAACAGACUUUGAAUCAUUUUUCGCAUAUUCGUCGCGUUUAUUCACGCGCGUUUUACCGUUUGUUCGCGCAUUUUUCGCCAUUUUUAGCUCCUGCAUAACUUCCGAGUCUAUAAUAUAUUUAUUAUUUUUUUUUGCGAAUCACCUUUGCCCCCGUUCCCCCCACAGGAAAAGGUCCGCGGACGACCAUCGACCGCGCAACGUAUUGUUUAUAAGAAAAGAAAAAAAAACAAAACAAAACAACGAGCUCUCGGCCGCCGUCCGAUAAAUACUUAAAACCGAUUUCCGGCGAGCGCGCACGUCGAUGAUGUACACGCGUCCGUGUACAGGGUGUGUUGUCCUUGCGAACAAUACUCGCCUGCCUACCUACGCGGUGUGCGUACGCGUCAUAACAUACCUACGUCAAUAAAUCCAAAGGCCUGUUAGACGAUUGUAAGGGUCAAAAAGUGCCCGCCCCUCCACGCCGGCACGAGUAUUAGAAUCGAGUACGAAACAUGAAUUCUCGGAACGGGUUCAAUCAUUCCGUCUCGCUCAUUCUCUCUGUUCGGACGAAAAUCAAAACGCGCUGGUAACGCCUUAUAAAAUAUGUAACCUUCGCAUUUACAAUAACUGCGCGUGCGAUAUUAUAACAGCGAGCACUCGAACCGCAAAGCAAAUAAUGCCGAAAAAAAAAAAUAAUAAUAAUAAUAAUAACAUUAAAACGCGACUAGCAUGUCACCUGCGACCCACGAGUUAAACAACAUUUUUCCGGGGGGGUCGUCUAAGAGUCGGGAAACACACGUUGUAAAUACGCGGUCACAGCGUGAAACGGCUUCCGAAUGAAAUGUAAACUAAACGGCGGCGCGGGUCCCGAGUCCAGUAGUCCAUUUUUUUGUUUUUUUUUUUUUGCGGGAGGGGUUUCGUCAAUAAUAAUUGACGGGGGCAAUGAGGGGGCAAUAGCCCUCCCCCCACCGGCGUCGUUUUUUUGUUCUCGGCUAUUUAAUAUUAUUUUCAAUAUAUUAUGUGGUUCUUGUAGUAUUGUUAUUAAAUUUAAAUUUGAAACAAUAUGUAUAUAUAUUUAUUUAUACAUUUCGACACUUUUAAGUACAUUUUUUACCGUAAAUACGAGAUUUCAGAACCCCCUUCCCCCAUUUUAAAUUACUCGUUAGGCCAGUGUUUCUCGCCGUAUAGUUUUGAACGCGAGAUUUAUAAUAUUAUUAAAAUUAGUGUUUUAUUUUUCUUUUUUUCAGAACUAGACCGCGAUUGUUAUGGCGAAAUCGCGACGCGGCCCAGACGUCGCUACACAACACUAUUGAAGUAUAAUUGAGUCGUCUACAGUCGUCAGUACUUUUAUGCAUCUCCGGAAGAAGAGUAGUUCGCCAAUUUUUUCGGUUUUUUAUUUCCCGACAACAGUACUAUUCGAUGGGGUUUUCGGGGUGAUUGUCGGGGCCCGUCCGGCGAAAGCAUAGAUGAUUUGAAUAACAUCGACGGCCCAAAUAUAAUACCAUAAUAUCGGAAACGCGCCGGUUAAAAAGGAAAAACGACGCGGUCCACGCAGCUGUUUUGCUCUGCUGAACGACUUUCGAAAACGGAUUAAUAUCCGACUUCUCCUGCCGCGAGUCUUUUAAAACGAACAAAUGCCCGGUCAACGCGCCGAGAGAAAAAAUACGGACAUACUUUGCACGUGGGCGGGCCACUAUUGUAGGUGAGAAGUUCGAAAAGUAGAGGAGAAAUUGAACGUAUUAUCUGAACGCAACGAUUAACCAUAUUGCUAACGAAAAACGAUUCAGAUCGGAGUCCGGUUAACUGUGUUGCUUUGUCAAUAAUAUGGUAUGACUUAUUUCGG
This is a non-coding RNA of Cinara cedri, 56739 nucleotides long. NCBI's taxonomy places the organism in Eukaryota, Metazoa, Arthropoda, Insecta, Hemiptera, Aphididae. The record is from the annotation of a GenBank genome assembly.